CCUUCACUUGCGGGCAAGUAAACAUUGCUAACAGGACCAAAACUAUCACCUUGAGGGUGUGGCCUGCUUAGUUCAAUGGCCAGUGGCUUCAAAGUUCCAUCAUCUUGCAAGAAAAGUAUGGUUCUGGUAGCAUAGGCCUUUGUCUCGGUUGCAUUUAUUUUCCUCAAAUAUGGAAAGAGUGGGUCGUGGUGAUCAAGUAUGUACAAUCUAUUGUCUUGGAUAGCCUGUAUGACAAAAUAAAAUUUAGCUACUGUGGUUUACUUGAAUAAAAAAAAUUCAAUCAUGGAGAAAAAUAUUAAUCAAACUAAGUCCAUGAGGUGUCAACCCAGUGGUUAAAGUCGACCUUAUAACCUCAAGGGAUAGAUUUCAAAUUUUCUCCCGGACGAAAUUCACGAACGCCACUUUGGAAAAAAAUAGAACUGAUCAAAUAUGUCAUUACCUGUUCUACGGUGACCCCACCCAUGUUUGGCUCCAAGUUUUCUUUGGUUAUGGUGCUGGUAUUAUCACCAAAUUUUUGGCUAUCUAGCUUGCUCUUUGGUGGAAACUCCUGUAUUAAAUUUAGCAAGCAAUAAUGUCACCAAUUACAAAAAUAACAUAAUGUUUACAAAAUAGUCUUAGUUUUAUUUUUUUAAUUUCUUAACAAAGUUAAACUAUUAGCUUUACCGAAAGUUUUUUGAUGAUGUGUGGGUUCACCCCAGCAAUCAUCUCCCUUGCAAAUUCCUCAUCAGUCUGCCAUGCAGAAUGGUCCACUGUUCAUAUUAAGAAAUUUUCAAAAGAUCCAUUAGAUUUCUUUAUAUGAUUUUGUAUAAAUAUAUUACUGCAAGGACUAGGUAUUAUGAUUAAUAUAUACCUUGAAUCACUUUUGGUGGUGGAAACUUAAGUGCUUGUUCACCAUCAGAUCGGAAAAGUUCCUUGAACAAUGGUAUUGGACUAAUCUGGCUUAGUACAUCAGUAGGAAGCUUAAUUCCACCCUCGUAGAGAGAGCGCACAUCUUGAAAGGUGUUAAACUCAGGGUUAUUGAGUUGUAAUGUAACUACAGAUCUCAGUUGAGGUAUGACAUUUUGAGAUGCUGAUUUGAGUAUGUAAACAAGAAAGUCUGAUGACUUUGUGUGUCCAAAAGAUUCAUCUCUUGGAAGGUAAACAGUGGGACUUCGAGUCUCACUCUUAGGAUCUGUUCAAAUAUAUAAUAACAAUAUAUGUUUUAGAAACAAUACCAAAAUCUUUAGAAUCAUAAGCAGGGUAAACAUUUGGAUCAACCAAAAAAACACAUGUUUAGUCCAAAAUCUGACAGAAGUGUUUGUGGCCUAACCUGUUUUAGUUUUUCUUCUGCCAGUUCUUCCCCUUCGAGGGUAAGGGAAAUCGCUUGAUCCCCCAAGAAUUUGACGCGCCAAUUGAGGUUUCGAGUCAGGCUCACCCAAAUCAUUGUAGACAUCGUAAUCAUAUAUUCUUUCCCAUUCCUUGCGCUCUCCAGUUCCAUCUCCUCUUAAAGUCUUCAAUUCUUCUUGUCUGUAGUACACUAAUGGAGCCGGUGUUUCACUUGGAAGGUAUGUCUACAUAAAUUUAAUCAUUCAAAAUAUCAAGUUUUAGGAAAUAGGCUUAAUAUUCAGCAAGCUAUAUAGUUAUUAUGAUAAAGUGGAUUUGUGAUUUGAGACAUCAGAAAGAGAUUGGGAGUUGCAAGUUCUCAACUCCCUCUACUCGCAUUUCUAAAAACUAAUUACUAAUAUUUGUCGUUAUAAUAGAAAUAACAAGCUACAUGUGUAAUAGAAUUUUUAUUCUUACCUUGUUGGCAAAGAAGAUGCGGUCGGUUUUGUACUUUUUAGAAUUGUAAAUCCAUGAGUUGCAGACAAAGUGGAUGGAUCCAUGGUUUGGAACAUCUUCAAGUGUCAAACUCACAAGGAAGAAUUCACCUUGCAUAAAAUUAUCGAUGUAAAAAGCUCCGGGAAUUCCCAUGUUACUGUCCCAUUCAAAAUGAAUACUGAAAGCAUUUUGUUUGUCUCCCAAUGUUGGUAUGGAGGUAAGAAGACCUUCCAGAAAUGUUUCCUUUCCCACUUUUCCUUUUCCAGCAGCUAUAUUAAAAAUGUCAAAUAUUAUUAGUUUCUCAAUUUCACUAAUCCAUGAUUUUCAAAGUUUAAUUUUAUUCUUUUACAGAUCCAUUUUUCUUUUUACAUGAUCAUCAUCCAUCUUGCCUGAGUUAUAUCGAAGGGAAAUAAUUUCAAUAUUUUAGUGGUAAUUGAUUGUACCUGAUCAUUUAUAACCAAUAUUCUACAUCAAAAUCUCCAUUGCACAUUUUUAAUUUAAUAAAAAAAACAAAAGGGAAAAUAAGGUAAAUCUUAAUGGAUUGAUGUAUCAAAAACUCUUCUUGAAUAAUAGGCUGGCUUGGUGGUGUGGUGGAAGAGUUAUGGAGUAAUUAAUGCAGUCUGAGUUCAAUUCUUACAUCUAGCAAAAACUAACAACCGACAUAAUACUCAUUCGAUAUUAUUUAUAAGAAAUAAUGAAUUUUUUGAUUUAUUGAAUAAUUAAUGUAUAUGAUAUAUAUUCUAGAUCGAAUACAUAAAUUAUUCAAUGAAUCUAAAAAAUUAAUUAUUUCUUAUAAAUAGGAUUGGAUGAAGUAAUAUUUAUUGCUUAAAAAAAUAAAACUCCUCAAUAUUUUGUUGUUAAAUCAGAGAUAUCCUCCACGUGCAAAUGUCUGUCACUUAUGUUAUGUCACACAAUGUUGGUAAAAGAGUCUAAGUAAAGAGAUCAUAGAAGUAUGAAAAGAAGCAAUUUUAAAUAGAAAAAGAUAGUAGAAUUUACAAUUUUAAAAAUCUAAUAAGACAGAAGUUCAAAUAUAAAGUAUAUAGAUGGGGAUGUCAAAUUUUAAAUAGCUUAUGGUACAAGAUUAAUUUAAAAAAUUUAAGUGAGCAUGUGCACCCAUCACGUAGAUCCAUACAUACCAAAUGACAAAGAUAAAGUCCAAAACAGUUGCCAAACGCCAAAUAUCACACUUAUUUGCAUUAUAUAUACUUCUUUUUUUACAAAACCAUUAGAUAUACUCCCUUUAAUAUACAUUGGAUAUAAGUUUUUAUAUAGUCAUUUUUUAUUCCAAUAGUACUAUUUUUUCCAUAUCAUUUUAUUACUUAAUCAAAUGUCCAAAUUAUUUUAAAUAGUUACUUAAAUAAUUUCAUAAUUUCUUUAUUUUAAUUAAGAAGAGACAACGAUGAAAUUUUUGUCUGUCAAGUAAGGAUAUAGUUUUGCAGUUAAUAAAAGAAUAUAAACACAAUUUUUUUCUUUUCAUAAAUUUCAUCAAAGAAGGUAAUCAAUCUUAUUCAGAAUCCGUCGAUCAGACACUAAAUGUGAUACCUCUCUCAAUCAAGAUUCUAAAAUCAUUCUCGUCCGUUAGAUCCAAUUACUUCCAUUGGUGUACACAUAAUUUAAAUAAGUUAUAUCAAUCAAUUAAUUAAAAUGCCUAUUUCUUGUAUGAAUUAAACAUAGUGAGAAAGGUCCUCGUGAACUAGCUCAAUUGAUAGAGACAUAUAAUAUAAUAUAUGCAGGGGUUGAAGUCCGAACCCUAAACAUCCGACUUCUCCAUAUUUAAAAUGUGUGAGCUCCCGUCACUGGGUUAAUUGACAAAAAGAAAAAUAGAGUGAGAAAGAGAAAUGAGUUAUUACCAUCAGCACUUGUAGCACUAAUCAACCUGAGAGCUAUAGAACGUCCCAAGAAGGAAGUGGCAGUAUCAAGUAUAUUGCCAGCAACAUCACCAACAAUACCAAAGGCACCACCAAUGAUACCAGUAGGGCUUUUAGCAGCAGUGAGGGCGUUGAUAUCCAAAGUAUUCUUUUGCAUCAACACCACAGUUCCCUUCAACUUUUGGCCUCUAUCAAAGAGACCUGUUACACCAGAAAACAUCUUUGAAUAUGCUUUAAAUGUAUUACACUAUAUAUGGUAAAUGAAAGAAAGGCUUGUGUCUUGUAACCAUAGGGGUGGUUAGUAUUUAUAGUAGUUGAUGAGAUUAGGAUCACAAUGUUAUAGUUCAAAUGAGGUGAUAUUUUUAUUCAACUACUCAUUUACAACAUGGUGGAAUGCAAUUGGUCACGUCUUAUGCUAAUUUUUUAUUAUGAGUGAUUAUCUCGUGGUAUAUAAAAUAAUAAUAUAUCCGAUUGCAAAAUUAUUUUGGUAGUUGUUAUAUGUGCCAGCCUUGGCAUUAUGUUCAAUAAUAAUGACUCUGUUUGCUCUAUUGUUAAUUAUUACUACUAUCUUACGUGUCUGCAUUGGUUUUCUCGAGUUUUCUCAUAUUUUUUAAAGUGGGAAAAUCUCUACCCUUAAAAUUCAUUUCUUUCUUAUUUUAAUUUCAAAAUCUCUCCUCUUUUUUUUUUUUUUUUUUUUUUCUUUUUCUUUUUCUUUCUCUCAUACUAUCAAAUCAAGAUUAGGAUUGGACUUGAGAUACAUUUGCUUAGUCACAAACAUAAAAAUGAGUCAUUUAACACACACAAUGUAAUAAAAAAAAUUGAUUUGGUGUUGUGGUCUAAUUUAACACUUACUAUAUAAGUAUUUCUCCAUCCAAAGAUGGAUCCAAAAAUCUAUUAGCAAUUUUAGUUCACGGCCUAAUUUAUUCUCUUGUUUGGGAGUCUUUUGUAACAAUUUUUGUUUUUUUAUUUUGGGUUGACGGCAAGACCUUUGUCUUUUGAUGUAACUAUACUCUUUUUCCUUGUUCUUUUGGCACUUUCUGUGCUGGAAUAGCAGAUAUUUUUCAAAUAUAAGCAAUCAACGUUUGUUCUAGGGCGCUCUAUAUAUGGAUAAUGUUAUCAGCCACGUUUUUGACAUUUGCAUCAAUUUUUUUCUUUAUAAAUGAUGAAUAAGACAUGUAUUACUAAUGAUGGUUGAUAUUCCAGCUAUCAUGGAAUCCAAGUCGCCAUAGUACAAUGUUUUUAAAAUCCCAGCUAUGUUGGCAACCCAAAACAUCGUGUGUCAAAUGCGCCACAUCUUAUAUAUUAUUAAUAAUAAAAAAUACAAAAACGAAAAAAGUUGAGUUAAACUCAACAAAGCUAAUUAAAAUGAUAGGUAUGCAUACCAAACCUAUCUAAAAAAACCACUGAUAAUAAAACUAGGACAUAUAUACCACCAUUGAAAAUCUCCAAUUAGUUUACAAAUAUCAACGAAAAAACUUCUCCUUUUCCUCUUGUGACAUAGAUGAUCUCCAGUAGGUUUCUGCGUUUUUCCUCUUCAGUUUCGUGUUUUGCUGCUUGCGUUGGGGGUGUGAAAAUUAAACACUGAUGACUUGUGAAAAAAAGAAGCAUAAAGGGCUGCUGGACUAAAGUCUGAUAAUUGUUGGUCCCUCUAUUAUUUUUGUUAUAUACACCCCUCUAUAAACGAUUAUUGUUAUAUACACCCUCGUAUAAAAAAAUUAGGUCCCUAAAGGCAUGGGCCCUAGGCUGCCGCACCCCAUCCUAUAUCUAUGGCUGGCCCUGAAUGUUAUCGUUGUAAUAGAAGUGGUUUAAUAUAUAAAAUGAAAGACAUAAGGUAAAUAGGGUAAUGUUGCAUUAAAAAUGGAUGUUGGUAAGGCAUGUGGCAUUGAUAGGUCAUUUGAAAGAAAUUUUGAUGAAGAUGAGGUUAUGUCAGUAGUGAAUGAACUAGAUAAUGAUGUGUAUUAAAAUGGUGGAUUAUUCCAUUAUUGUUAACAAUGAAAUCACAUGACCAAUCAUACUCGGACGAGGCCUUCAUCGGAGAGAUUCUUUGUCUCAUUGUUUAUUCUGUGUGCAGAAGGCCUAUGUGCUCUUAUUAAGUAUGUCGAGGCUAGUGGAGAGCUUCAUGGGGUCAAAAUUUGUCGAAACACUUUGAUUAUUACUCGAAUUUUAUUUGCAGAUGACUACUUUCUAUUUUUCAGGGAAGGUGAAGCGCCGAGACUCAAAAUAUGAAGCAAAUUUUGAGGUUGUACAGAGCAACGUCUGGAUAUUACAGCUUAAAUGCCCAACAAUCCCUUCAAAAUGCUUUUACAACAACCUUAGGGGGGUCAGGCGGUGUUAUGCACAAUGAAGUACAUCGGACUACCCUCUAUGAUUGGUAGAAGAAGGAAUGUUACGUUCAGCUUUCUCAAAGAUAUGACUGGAGCAACAAGUAUUUGUGAAAGGAAGAUAUAAUGAUAAAAACAUGUACUGCAAGCAAUACCAUCUUAUGGAAUUAGAAUUUUCUUACUUUCUACCAUGUUCUUUGAUGCCAACGAAAAGAUUAUUAACACGUACGUACUGGUGGGGUCAUGGUGGUUCCACAAUUAGAGGUAUUGACUGGUUAUCAAGGGACAUGCUUGUUGUCUACAAAUUUUUUGGAGGUUUGGGGUUUAAAUACUUGACGUCAUUCAACUAAGCAAUGUUAGGAAAACAAGAUCGGAAAUUCCACACACACUUGGACUGUUUGGUAUCAAGACUGUUCAAGGCGCUCUAUUUUCCUCAUGGAAGCUAUCUAGACCGAAAGUGAUGACAGAGCACUAUAUGACAUUUUGGGCUAUGUUUUUAGUACUUUUAUUUGCAUUUGAAGACAUAUAAGUUGAGAGAUAGAGGAGUUGUUAAUGGUUUGGGAAACAUAUUGUAUUGUUUUCAAUCGAGCCGUUGUUCUUGAUGCUUGACAGUUUAAGGAACCUCUAGGGUAUGUUUUUUAAACAUCGUUGUUCCUUGAUUGAGGAACCUCUAGAUAUUUCAUGAAGUGUAAUUCCUUUAGAUGACAAUUUAAGAGUCACACGGGAUGUUGCAGUCAAAAGAUGUGAUCAUGGCUUUCAUAAUUGAGUUAUGGAUAAAACGACAUCUGUAGGAAUAUUCUCUCUAUAGUAAACCACCGUUUAUGUAAUUUUUAGGUUUUAAUUAAUAGGUACUUUGCAUUAAUCCAACAAAGAGGGAAGAGGGAAGAGGGGAUUCAAGGAUUCCCUAAUCACCGUUAUACAUCUAAAUCACACAAACAUAAUCUUUCUUUGGAUAGGGAAAUUUAACCAUGCAAAUCUUUUUUUCAUCUCUUUUCUAUUUUCUUUCUAAUAAGUUUUGCUAAUUACCGAAAAACUUGCUACUUUAUUAAUUGUUAUGAUUUGGUGCACUUGCCAAUUUCGUCCUUCAGAAAGCUUGGACAUAAAUCAAAGCUUUAGUUGGAGAAGAAUAUUUACCGCUAAGAGAGUAGUACAAAAAGUUGCUCGGUGGAAGAUCAGAUCGGGUACAAAGUUUCAAUUUUUUAUGCUUUGUGGGUAAAAGAUGGGACAAGUAUUCUAGGAGAUGGUCAACCUCUCAAGGUAAUUCAACAGGCUAAAGUGCACAAUCUCGUUGAUCAAGAAUUUCCCGUAUAGAACAAUCAUAUUGUAAACCAGUGUUUUGAUCAACUUAUAAAUGAGCUCAUUCUGAGUACUCCUUUAAUUGAGUCUGUUAAAGAAAGAUAAAUUAAUUUUUAAAUCAAAGAAAAAUGAACAUUACUCGGUAAAAAUUGUGUACAAGAUUUAUACAUAAAAUAGUGCAGGCAACUCAUAUUUAUGUCAGUAAGGUCAUUGGCUGGAAUUUAGAAGUUAAAGGUGCAUCCCAAAGUGAAGGAUUUCAUUUGGCUGAUUUAUCAAGGUUGCUUACCGACGCGUGUAAGGCUGAAAGAUCGAAGUCUCCAUUGUCUGUCUAUUUGUAUGAUGUGCACCGGUAACUAUGGGGAUGCAAUGCAUAUAUUGUUUGAUUCUCCGUAAAUAGGAUAUGUAUAUAUUUUUCUCAAGUGCAUUAAUUUUAUCAUUCAUAGCUCCAGCCCAGUUUAUAUUUUUAAAUGUUUCUUCAAUAGAUGAUUUGAUUCUCACAUAAUCAACGGCAACAAUAAAACUUUGAUUGUGUGGAAAGUUGUUUAGUGGAGACAUAUUGAGAAAUAUGUAUGAUAUCUAUAUAUAGAGGGACAGAUCGAUAACAUUUGCAAUCAUCUACAACAGGCCAUGUUACCCAAGAACAAUCAUCAAUAAAAGAAACAAACCACCUUGCCCCAUAAAUAUUAGAAACAACAAGAAAUAUUAGAAACAGGGGCCGAUCGGCAGACAUCAAAAUGAAUAAGAUCAAAUGGUUCAACACUUUUACGAAGAUUCAACGAAAAAAGUGGUAUGUGUACGCUUAUAAAAUGGAUAUAUAUAUCACAUUUAAAAGACUAAAUCGAUUGCAUUAAAAAACAAAGAUGGAAACAUAAACUUCAUUAGUUGAAAAUGAGGAUGACAAAGACGUUUGUGCUGAAGCCAAAUUUGAGAGGCAGAAUAAGACUCUGACUAAGACUGAAGUGCAGAAGACAACACCUUCUGAUCAAUUCGUGCAUCAUACAAAUAAUAUAGCCCUCCUUGUUCCUAAGCAACUCCAAUCGUCUUUCCCAUUACAAGAUCCUCGAAAGCACAAUGUGAAUCAAAAAAUAUUACUGCACAAAUAUUAUCCUUUAUAAGCUUACGAACAUAGAUAAGGUUAUUCCAAAGACAAGGAACAUGAAGCAUAUCUUUCAACUUAAAAGGUUCAAGGUUAAUUUCUCCACAACCAUCUACACGAGUAUGAGAACCAUAUGCAGCCGCAAAAAAGAAUGUCAUAUGAAGAAAUUUACUUCAAAAAGGCCAAGAACCAAUGUCAUAUGAUCAAUAGCACUAUAGUCAAUAAUAUAAUCAACAUUUCAAGCAAAAACCACAUAUAACUAUUUUCAGUCACAUUGGCUGAUAACUACAAAAGAAUCUCCUCAAAAGAACAACAAAAAGAAGAGGCUUCAAAUAACAAAAAAUAGGCAACAAGGUAAAAACCGUAAGUCGCAACAACGUAAAAUCACCAAAUAAAAGUCAAACUGAAUCACAAAGGGUCCUCAAAGAUGCUGGUAGUCACAAACAAGCACAAAACAACCGCUAUCAAUCAGUUAGUGUCAAGAGUACCCACGUAAAAUAGUAUCUUGGUCUUGGAUCAAGAUUUUGACCCCUUAAACGAACCAAUUAUGUGAAGACUAUAAUUUCUAGGAAUAAAUGGUGUCGAAUGGUGGUUCACAAGGUGGCAUGUGCAUCGCACUUGAUGGAGCUUCACUUUAGAUUGGGCCUCUGCUCUCAACUUCUCAAGUUCUUCUUCAAAAAGUAUUUGAGAACAAAUUUUUAUAGCCCUUUCGUUUAAAAAAUCUUUUUAGUUUUGCCAUAUUAGUUGAUGUAUGAUUCUUUAACUGUAUUUACAUUGGAAAAACAAUUGGCAGUGGAAAUAAAAUCAUUAUGAUCUAUUAUUGCUUUUUCAAUGUUAUCAUUUUUUUGUCAUGCUAUAUUGCAUAUUUGCAUUGAGAGCUUUUUUGUCAUGAAAUAAAAUAUGAAGUUUGCAUUUUAUAUACAAAGUAAAUCACACAACAAAAUAGAAACAUAGUAACUUUUAUUGAUGAAAUACAUUAUAACAAUCAAACAUGAUAGUUUUUAUUGAUAAAACACAUUACAGAAUUAAAAACAAACGUACAUAAUAACAUAACAUGACGAUAUACAUAGGGGGCGAGGGAAUUGGAUUCCUCCUCCUCUUUUAUUAAUAGCGACAACGCAACAACCACGACGUUUUUUAGAUAGAGACACUGUUGGGAAUGCCUCUGCAAGUCAAUCCUUCCUCACUAGAAGGAUAAAGCAGAGUGUAAGGCAUCUUCACUGGUCCGUUACGAUUCCUCAGUGUCUCAUCAUUGUUCCUUUGAAUGAGUUUUUGCUCAAUUUCAGCCAACUUCUUUCCAAACCUCUUAAAGGACUCUUUUGGCUGUGAAUCAGAAGUCCAGAGAUCACCUUCAAUUCUCUCUCCAAGGUAUUGCUCAUCAGAAGCAUGCCUUGACAAGACUUCUAUAAUGGUCAAGUCAGUAAGAGUAUCAUUCUUGGGUGUUAUUGUCCUCAGAUAAGACUUCUGGUAGUCCUUAGCAAGCUCAUCAUACUCAGGGGAUCCCUGCUCAGGCAUGAAUCUUCUACUUUUAGUUGGUCGGUUAACGAUAUAUCCUCCAUACGGAUAUUGUCCAAAAUUAACUGCUGCAUGAAGUGCUGAAGCAAUCCAUAUGAGGGUGGUGCAAGCUUCAAUCAACUCCUCACGAGUUUGCAUCUUAAACCACCAUGUAGCAUUCUUCAAGUCACCAUGACCGACCUCUACAAGUUCUUUCCAGAAUGCUUGGAGUUCAGAAUCUUGUGCAAUAGAUGCAUCUGACUUGUAGUAGAAAUUGACAUAUUCAUCAACCCAUGAUUUAAUAGCAGCCCAUAUUUCUAGUCCAUCUGAAGCAUAAGGGUAGUCCUCUAUUAGAAGUCGAAGACCAUAUGCUGAAGUAGGGUCCUCAACGGCCACUCCUCUAUAGAACAAGCAAAGGAAGAUAACAUUAACAUACAAAAAAAAAAGAUAGUUAGGAAAGUUACUUAGAGUUUGUUUGAUUGGUAGUUACUUUGUUGAUUCUCUACUAGCUCUAUACAUGGCUACAAAGUCAAACAUUUACCAUUGAACUGAAACCGUGUGGUAUUAUACUUGAGAUCAAUAUCUUUUUAAAAAACGGACUGAGUCAAGAUGUAAUGUUUUGUAAGGUUACCUUUUGAUUAGAUCAUUAGGUAGGCCUUGCUCAGUGAAAACCCAAUCCUUGUAAACGACAGAAGACAUUUCCAAAGCAUACUUUCCCCACAAGAAAGUUGACUCGAUAAUACCCUCGGCAUUGACCAACACAUUUCGUGCUAGUGCAUUUAUGUUCAUCGUGUCACGAUAAUGUGGAAGCAGAAGUUUAUGAAUAGGGUGAACCACACUUAGAUGCCUAUUUGUUGCUAUGACGAAUGGCUCAACUACAGCAUGAGUGUUCAACCUGUCACACAUUGUAGAUAAAUUUUCAUCAAAUUACUCAUAGAUGUAUAAAAUUUAUUUGAUUGUUUAAAUAUCAUAAACGAAAUUCAUACCAAUGGCUAACAAGUUGGUGAUAACAUGAAUCAUUUACAAUUACGUAAGCCUUGGCAAGGAGCCAAAUUGAAGCUUCAACACCUUCACUUGCAGGCAAGUAAACUUUGCUAACAGGACCAAAACUAUCACCUUGAGGGUGUGGCCUACUUAGUUCAAUGGCCAAUGGCUUCAAAGUUCCAUCAUCUUGCAAGAAAAGAAUGGUUCUAGUAGCAUAGGCCUUAGUCUCGGUUGCAUUUAUUUUCCUCAAAUAUGGAAAGAGUGGGUCGUGGUGAUCCAGUAUGAACAAUUUAUUAUUCUGGAUAGCCUGUUCCACAAAAUAAAAUUUAGCACUGUUGAAUUAUUUUUUUAGAGUAAAGUUGUUGAAUUGGGUAGAGAUUUACCUGUUCUACCGUGACCCCAACCAUGUUUGGCUGCAAAUGUUCUUUGGUUAUGGUGCUGGUAUUAUUACCAAAGAGUUGGGUAUCUAACUUGCUCUUUGGUGGAAACUCCUAAAAUAAAUGUACGAAGCUGUGGUUAAUUAAAACUUAUAAACAUGGCAUGAAAAGUGGGAAAAAUAGCAUUUGUUAGUUUUUCAGUAUUUUCUUAACAAUGUUAAACCAUUAACUUUACCAAGAGUUUUUUUAUGAUGUGUGGAUUCACCCCAGCAAUCAUCUCCCUUGCAAAUUCCUCAUCAGUCAUCCAUGCAGAAUGAUCGACUGUUCAAAAUUAAAAUUUCAAAAGAUCCAUGAACUUUAUUUCUCUGAUAUAUGUUAAUAGUAAUAGGAAUGUGUGACUAAUUAAUAUAAACCUUGAAUCACUUUUGGUGGUGGAAACUUAAGUGCCGCUUCACCAUCAGUUCGGAAAAGUUCCUUGAACAAUGGUAUUGGGCUAAGUUCACUUAGUAUAUCAGUAGGAAGCCUGAUUCCACCUUCAUAGAGCGAGCGCACAUCUUCAAAGGUGUUAAACUCAGGCUCAUGGAAUUGUAAUGUAACUAUAGAUCUUAAUCGAGGUAUGACAUUUUGAGAUGCAGAUUUGAGUAUGUGAACAAGAAAGUCUGAUGACUUUGUGUGUCCAAAUGAUUCAUCUCUUGGGAGGUAAACAGUGUCACUUCGACUCUCACUCUUAGGAUCUGUUCACAAAUACAAUAACAAUGUAUGUUUUAGAAUCAUAAGCAGAGUAAACAUUUGUAUCAACAAAAAGACUUAGUAAACAACAUCAGGGAUAAAAACAUUAGUUGUCAAGUAGAAUACAAUUUCACAUUUUAGUACCAUAUCACUUAAUUUUUGCCAGAAUUUCUUAAAAUAUAACAUACUCAAGUGUUAAGAUAGAACGUAAAGUUAUAACCUUUACGAGCUGCUUUCCUGCCGGUUCUCCCUCUUCGAGGGUAAGGGAGGGUGCUAGAUCCUCCAACAACAGGACGAGCCAAACUAGCGUUCUUGUCCACAUCACCCAAAUCAUUGUAGACAUCAUAAUCAUAUAUUCUUUCCCAUUCCUUACGCUCUCCAGUUCCAUCUCCUCUUAAAGUCUUCAAUUCUUCUUGUCUGUAGUAGACUAAAGGAGCUGGUGUUUCACUUGGAAGGUAUGUCUACAAAAUUGUAGUCAUUGAUUGUGUCAAGUUUUUGGAAAAGAGAAUUUAUAGUCUAAAAAAAUAUUUAACAAGUUAUACAUGUUGGAUAUAAUUUAUAAAUAUUCUUACCUUGUUGGCAAAGAAAAUGCGUUUAGUUUUGUAAUUUUUAGCGUUGUAAACCCAUGAGUUGCAAACAAAGUUGAUGGUUCCAUGGUUUGGAACAUCUUCAAGAGUCAAGCUGACAAGGAAGAAUUCACCACCUUGCAGAUAAUUCUCAAUAUAAAAAGCUCCUGGAGUUCCCAUGUCAUUGUCCCAUUCAAAUUCAAUACUGAAAGCAUUUUGUUUAUCUCCCAAUGUUGGCAAGGAGGUAAUAACACUUGCCAGAUACGUUUUCUCUCCCACUUUGCCUUUUCCGGUUUUUCCUAUACAAAAAUUGGACUCUCAAUUUCACUGAUGAUGAUUUUAAAUAGUAGUAACACGUUAUAGCUAUUCCAAAAUUUGAUGUUUUUUACAGCUCAAAUGUUCUUUAUACCUACUACAUAAUUUCUCAACAUCCACUUGCCCUUAAUUAUAUCAAAUUGAAACUAAAUUUUAAUAUUUUAGUGGUAAUUGAUAGUAACUGGUUAUUUAUGAAUAAUAUUUGGGUAUUGUUAAAAUAAGAUAAAGAAGUUGUUACCAUCAGCAACGGUAGCACUAAUCAGCCAGAGAGCCACAGAACGGCGGAACAAGGAGGUGGCAGUGUCAGCUACAGUACCGGCAGCAUCACCAACAAAAUCGAAGAAACUGUCAACUACACCACCGGCGCUUUGAGCUGCAGUGAGUUCGUUGAUGUCUAAGACAUUCUUUUGCAUCAACACCACAGUUCCCUUCACCUUUUGGUGCUUAUCAAAGAGACCUUUCACCAAUGAACUCAUCUUUAAUGCUUAAAUGUAUUACACUAUCUUUGGUAAAUGAAAGAAAAGCUUGUGUUUUGUUACCAAGGGGAUGCUUAGUAUUUAUAGUAGUUGAUAGGUGCAAGGUUAGUUCAAAAGAAAUAAUUGUUUAUUGUUCAUUAUUAUAUGUUUUUUACAUAAUUAAUUUACUAAAUAACAACACAUUUAAAUGAAGAUGGGUAAUAUAAGCUGGCACAUUACAUAAAUAACUCUUACCAAAAAAAAAAUUACAUCAAUAACUGAUAUCUACGUGUUUUUUUGUUUCUGUCACUUGAGUGCGAUAUUUUUUGUUCGUCAUCUUGAUGCAUUGUUGUUUGAUUUUUUGUUUUGUUGUGAUGUUCUUUUAAUUUAAAUUCAGUCAAUGACUUUAGCUCUAACAUUAAAAAUUUGGAGGGAUAAAUAUUAAGUUUACUUUGAUUUUGUGACUUUUAUAGACAUUUUGUUACUUUAUGUUAUUAAUUUGGUUUUUUCUAGAUUACCUUUGAAGAAUGGUGGGUAAUUUACCCACCAACCAAUGAAAAUGAGCAAUUUAUUGGUGGGGUCAAUAUAGUUCAUGGAUACCACUUAAAAAUGUGCUUAUGUGGCUAAUGUGUAUUGGUUGGGAUAAAUUACCCACCAUUCUUUCAUGGAUACCCUAGUUGUCACCUAUUAAUUUACAUGUUGUGGUUUUAUUCUCAUGUUUAACUUAAAUCAAUUCAGCUACUCAAUCUCCUAUAAUAUUUUCCACGUGUUCUAUUAAUUUGAACUGAUGACUGUUUUGGUUAGUAAGAAAAAGCACGUUUAAAUGCAAUUGGGGCACAAUCUUAUGCUAAUUUUUCGAUGAUUAUCUUGUUUUAUAUUAAUAAUAUAUUCGUAGGUUUCAUUAUUAUUUAGAUUGUUUUAUGUAUUGUUAAUUAGGUACUGACCUGUAUGCAUUGGUAGUUUCGAUCAGGGUUGAAAUAGAUGGCCGUUUGGGACCCCAUCUUAGGAGGGACAUAAAUAUUUUUAUAAUUAGAAAAGUAAAACCAUAUGUACUUAAAAAACUAUAAAAAAAUUUGUUAAUGUUAACGAGUGGUUCAAAGACACUUGUUAAUUAGGUUACUGGAAAUUAGAUCUCAAGUUCACAAAAGAACAAAUUUCUAUCCACUUUUCAAUUCACUCAAACUAACAAUGAAUCCUAAGAGAAAACAAUAAAAAAAACGUUUUGAUCCUUUUUCUAAUGAGAUCUCACUGUUAAAGGUGUUUGUAAAGUGUUUCACUUUUCCAAGAACCUCAUCCAAAGACAUUAAACCAUAAAGUUCCCUUUGAUUUUUCCUAAGUUUAUCUCUCUUGAAGCCACAUAUUAAAUUGAAGAAUGAAGCUUUUUAUAGAACUCAGACUUAGAUAAUGAUUUUGUUUGGAUAAUGCCACGAUUUCGAGCUCGAACACAGUAAUGCACUAAACCUUAUCCUCAAAGUGCGUCAUGAUUUUCUCCCUUCAGACUGCAAAAUAAUGCGAACCAAACCUCAAAAAGUCUAAACCAAAUUGCGUCAUGAAUUCUUCAAAUCGCGCCAUGAUUUUUGACGAACUUCAACAUUAACUUUGAGCCAAUUUUAAAUAUUUCUCAUCCUUAACUCUAAAUUGUUGGUGAUGUCAUUUUAACCAUCAACAACCUAAAUGCUAUCUCCAAUGAUAAAUUAUUCUUCAACAAAUUUAAUCAAGUUCAAGCAAUCCUUGAACCUUGAUAUAGACAAUAACUUGGUGAACACAUCUGUCGGAUUUUCUUCCGUAGCAACUUUCUCAAUCAUAAUCUAUUUCGAUUCAAUCAUGUCUCUAACGAAGUGCAAGCGAAUGUCAAUGUAUCUUCACAAUGUAUCACAAUACACUUGAAGAUAUGUCAAAUGGAUGACAUUUUGGCUUUGGCUAUCACAAUGUAUCUUCACACAUAUUUGAGCAAUUCCUAACUUAUAUAUUGUUGUAUAUUAAUAAUAUAUCCCUGUUCCAGAACUAAAACAGUAGUCUAAACUGUUUUUUAUGUCAUCUAAAGAUCGUACCCAAUCACUAUCAGAGUAACCUUGCAACUUGAAAAUUUUCCAUCGAUAGAACUUAAUGCCAUAAUUUAAGGUUCCCUUGACAUACCUCAACACUCUUUUUUCUCCUUUGAAAUGAGAUUCUUUAGCACAAUUCAUGAAUCUUGAAAGAACAUUUACAACAUACGAAAUAUUUGGUCUUGUAGUUGUAAGAUACAUUAAGCAUCCAAUUAAACUUCGGUUGAGUGUUUCAUCCACGUGUUCUUCUUCAACAUCCCUUGCAUCUCAAAUUCUCGAAUGAAAUUAAGCGCUUGCAUUCCCCUAAUUCUUUCAUCUCCUUCGUAUUCAGUUUUGAGGAAAUUUCAUAUUUCAAAUGCUGGUUUGAUGGUCAUAAUUUUGGUUAAGAUUUCUUCUGAGUCAUCAGCAAAGGAAGAACUUCGUAGUCCUCCUCAAGAGCUUCGCAGAGGUCAUUUGCCUCUAAAUACGCCUCCAUUCCUGCUGCCCAUAUAUGAUAGUUUUCACCAUCAAACACAGAUAAUGGUAGGGCUUUGUAGGGUGUUUCAGAAUCCAUCAGUUUGAUGAAUUGAGGAAUAAUGUUUAAGCUUUUACGGUAGCUUUCACUCACUUCACUCGCAAGUCCCUCCAAGAAGAAGGCUUUGAUACCAAUCUGUUGGUGAUUAUACGUAACUCAUAGAAUAGGAAGGGAAAAACUGAAAUAUUAUUGAAUUGAAAAAACUGUUGUCAAAUACAAAGUUGUAACUUAAAUAAAAAACAAAUAUUGAGUAACUAACUCAUGAUCUUUAGCCACUACUUUAUUAGCUAAUUAAAAACUGAAAUAUUAAAACAAAUUCUCUUAGAGACUUGGUCAAAUAGUGCAGCUGGAAGUAACAACUGAUGAUACACAUGUUCAACACCUUCUCAUCAUUUAUUCAAAGCAACAAACAACACAACAACCAUGGUGUUUUUUAGAUGGAGACACUGUUGGGAAUCCCUCUGCCAGUCAAUCCUGGUCCACUGGAAGGAUAAAGAAGAGUGUAUGGAAACUUCACAGGCCCAUACCUGUUUUUCAAUGACUCAUUAUUGUUCCUUUGAAUGAACUCUUCCUCAAUUUCAAUCAAUUUCUUUGCAAACUUUUUGUAGGCUUCUACUGGCUUUGGAUCAGAAGUCCAAAGAUCACCUUCAGUUCUUUGUCCAAGGUAUUCCUCAUUAGGAUCAUGCAUGGAUAAUACCAGCAUAGUAUUCAUAACUUCAAGGGUUUCAACCUUUGGUGUGAUUGUCGUCAAAUAUGUCUUCAUGUAGUCCUUAGCGAGCUCCUUAAACUCAUGUGAUCCUUUCACUGGCAUGAAUCUUAUGGUUUUAGUUGGUCGGUUAAGGAUGUACCCUCCAUACUGAUAUUGUCCAAAAUUAACAGCUGCAUGAAGUGCUGAAGCAAUCCAUAUGAGGGUGGUGCAAGUUUCAAUCAACUCUGUACGAGUUUCCAAUUUAACCCACUUAUCAGUCUUCAAGUCACCAUGACCUACUUCUACAAGUUCUUUCCAAAAUGCUUUGAGUUCCUCAUCAUCUUUAACAUCUUUAUCUGACUCGUAAUAGAAAUUGACAUAUUCAUCAACCCAUGACUUAAUAGCAGCCCAUAUCUCUAGUCCAUCUGAAGCAUAUGGAUAAUCCUCUAUCAGAAGACGCAGACCAUGUGGGGAAGAAUCAUCGUCAACAGCCAUUCCUCUAGAUAAAUAAACAAGAAAGGUAACAUUAAAACACACGCAAAAAAAUACGGAAGGGGUUAUUGUUAAUUAAAAUAGUAAUAACUAAUAACUAUUUUACAAUUGUCUGAGAAAGAGUUCGUACUCUGUCAAAUAGAAAUAUAAUAAUAGUUAGUUUGAGAUUUUUAAUUAGUAUGUAAUUAGUUUGUUAUUUGGUUGUUAGGUUUUAAGUUAUUGAUUCACUUGGGAAUAUAUAAAAUGUAUAUAUUUUAGAUUAAUAUCUUUCUAAUAAAUGGACUGAACCAUGAUGCAAUGUUUUGCUAAAUUACCUAUUUUUUAGAUCAGUAGGUAGUCCUUCUUCAGCGAAAACCCAAUCCUUGUAAACAACAGCUGACAUUUCCAUACAGUAUUUUUCAAACAAAAAUGUCGACUCUACAAUACCCCCUGCAUUGAUCAAGAUAUUUCGUGAUCGUGCAUUUAUGGUCAUCGUGCCACGAUAGUGUGGAACUAAAAGUUUAUGAAUAGGGUGAAGCACACUAAGAUGCCUAUUUGUUGCUAUGACGAAUGGCUCAACAACAGCAUGUGUUUUCAACCUGUGACACAAGUAAAUAUAUAUUCAUAAAAUUACUACUCAUUGAUAAAUCAAAUAUAUAAUUUUAUUAUAUCAAAAUGAUCUAGGAAAUUCUCACCAAUGGCUGACGAGUUGGUGACAACAUGAGUCAUUUACAACAGCGUACGCCUUUGCAAGGAGCCAAAUUAAAGGUUCAUCAUCUUUAGCAUCUUUAUUUGGGGGCACGUAAACAUUACUAACAGAACCAAAACUAUCACCAUUAGGAUGUGGCAAACUUAGCUCAAUGGCCAAUGGAUUCAAAGUUCCAUCAUCUUUAACAAAAAGAAUGGUUCUAGCAGCAUAGGUCUUUGCUUCAGUUUCAUUUACUUUCCUCAAAUAUGGAUAGAUUGCAUCGUGGUGAUCAAGUAUGUACAAUCUAUUGUCUUCGAUAGCCUGUUAGACAAAAAAAAAAAAAAAAAAAAAAAUUAGCCUCUGUAGUUCAAUUGAUUGAAAAAAUUAAUUUUAAUAGAGAAAUAAUAAUAAUAAAAUUAAUUCUUCAUUACCUCUUUUACUGUGACCCCAUUCAUGUUUGGCUCCAAGUGUUCUUUGGUUAUUGUGCUGGUAUUAUCACCAUAGAGUUUACUAUCUAACUUGCUCUUUCUUGGAAGCUCCUGCAACAAAUAUAGAAAGCAAUGAGGUUAAUUACAAAUUACUAUGUAUGUAUUAUAUAUGAAAAGUUGAAAUGAUAACCUUCUUUAUUUCUUUUGUACAUGCUUAAAAAUAUUACAAAUUUACCAGAAGUUUUUCGAUGGCAUUCGGAUUCACACCAGCAAUCAUCUGUCUUGCAAAUUCCUCAUCAGCCAUCCAUGCAUGAUAAUCCUCUACUCAUAGUAACAAAUUUUCAAAAGAAUCCAUGAGCUUUCUUUAUAUGAUUUUGUAUAUAGUUAAAUAUAUAUUGCGAUAACUUGGAAUUUCUGAACAAUAUAUAUAUAUAUACCUGCAAUCACUUGUGGUGUUGGAUACGUUGAACUUUUAGCCACUGAUUUAGCAUUAAUUGGGGAAAGUUCGUUGGACCUCGAUGUUUUGUUGAAUUUACUUAGUAUAUCAGUACCAUGGUUAAUUUGAAUAUUGAAGAGUGACAACACAUCUUGAAAGGUGUUAAACUCUUGACUGAAUAUUAAACUCUCAUCUGUGUGAAGUAAUUCAUCUCUUGGAAUGUAAAUUCUGCCAGUCCGACUCUCAGUCUUUGGAUCUGUUCAUAUUUAUGAUAACAAAAUUAUGUUUCAGCAACAAUACUAAAAUCUUUAGAAUCAUAAGUAGAGUAAACAUUUGGAUCAACCACAAGACAUGUUUGAAAGACUAUUAUUUUGAGACACAGGCACUACAAAAAUAGAGGACUACACACAAAUAUUUGUAGCCUUACCUUUCUUACUUGGUUCUCUACCAGAUCUUACCCUUCGAGGGUAAGGAAAACCGUCUGAUCCCUCCAAAGUGCUUGAUCCCCCAAGAACUGGACGACCCAAGCCAGCCUCUUUGUCUGGUUCACCCAAAUCAUUGUAGACAUCGUAGUCAUAGAUCCUAUCCCAUUCUUUGCGCUCACCCGUUCCAUCUCCUCUUAAAGUCUUCAACUCUUCUUGUCUGUAGUAGACUAAUGGAGCUGGUGUUUCACUUAGAAGGUAUGUCUACAUUUUUUUAUUUCAUAGUGUCAAAUUUUGAGAUAUAUAAAUAUAAUAUAUAUAUAACAUGUAAGAUAAAUAUGAAUAUGAUAGUUUUCAUUACCUUGUUGGUAAAGAAGAUGCGCUCAGAGUGAUAGUUUUUAGCAUUGUAAAUCCAUGAGUUGCAGUUAAAGUUGAUGGUUCCAUGAUUUGGAACAUCAUUAAGGGUCAAACUCACAAGGAAGAGUUCACUUUGAUUAAAAUUCUCGAUAAAAAAAGCCCCUGGGGAUGGAGCUCCCAACUUUUCAGUGUCCCAUUCAAACGUAAUAUUGAAAUGAAAUUGGGUUUCAUCCGAGGCAAUAAGACUUCCCAAAUAUGUUCGCUCUCCCACUUUUCCUUUUCCAUUUCCUACACAAAUUGCAGAAAGUAGAUCUUAAUUUCCAGAUAUACUACUAAUUUAAAUUACAUCUUUUUGUGCAAAUUUAUUACUACUAUCAACUUAUUAUGGUAAUUUUGUCAUAUUCCUAUAUUUAGGGAUGAAAGUGGUAAUAAUUAUAAUCAUUGUUCCUACUUUUUUGAGAAGAAAACAUCGAAGCCUAUAUCAACAAAGAUAUUCACAAAUUUUUAAACCGGGAGUUUCUACUCUACACUCGCAGAUUAAACUAUAGUGAAAUACUUGAUUUUUUAAUCAAUAAAUUAAUUAUCGGUUUAAUGAAAUAAAGAGUUAUUUAUCAACUUUAAUUUUAUAUUGUAUGAAAUAUCAUUGUAUAAGGGAAAAAAAAAUCACAUCAUUGUUUAUAAGAAUCAUAUUAAAUUAAGAGUAAAUGAUAGAAAAUAACUUUUUUUUUUCUUUCUAAAAAACACUUUUUUUUUUCAAAAACAACUAAACUAACAAUUCGUUUAAAGAUCUGAUGUAUCGAUCGAUGUACUCGAAUUCGUCUUACAAAUAUUGUUUUAACUUGUCAAUUUUACGAUAACAUUUCUAAACAUUUUUAUCCAAGACUUUUUAUUCUGUUAAAAUCUAGUUCUAAAGGGAAAUAGGCAUCGGUAAUAUGGAGUUUGAUCGAGAGGUAAGUAUAGUUUGAUAAAAAAUUGUUCCAUUCAGAAUUGAACUCACGUUCUCUUAAAUAUUUUAUCUAGUGGAACUCAUUAACCACUUUUCUUUUUGGCAAGUAGCCUAGUGGCAAGAAUUCACAUUUUUCAAUAUGAAUAAGUGGGGUUAUAGGGUUCGAACCCCACCCCCUGCAUAUAAUUAUGCAUGUCCCUGCCAACUGAGCUAUCCUCACGGAGACCACUCAUUAACCACUUUAACCUACCAAUUAACUAAAUUUAUUAUUGCAUAAGUUUUCUAUAACUUUUACUCUUUUUAACAUAAAAAAUGUGUUCAUUUGCAUUGUUACUCCCUCGGUCCAACAGUUUACAAAUAAUCAUGGAUAUUAAGAAAAGUUGUUGGAUAAAUAAAGUUGUCCCAAAUUGUUACCAAAUUGUAUUUGUGUUAAUGUUGAUUUUUCAUUUUUCAAAAUACAUUGAUAGUAUUAAUAAAACAAACAGUCUUAUAAUUAUGUACGGAUGGAGUAGUGGAUAUAGUUAGAUAAAGAAGUUAUUACCAUCAACCGUGGAAUCACUAAUCAAUCUGAGAGCCACAGAACGGCCUGGGAUGGAAGGAUCAGCAGCAUCUUUGUUUUGCUUAAGAAUCACAAUACCCUUAAGCUUUGUGACCUUGUUCCUAGCUGACACUGACACGAAUGAAGUCAUCUUUGAUGCUUAAAUGUAUUACACUAUCUUUGUCAAAUGAAAGAAAUGUUUGUGUCUUGUAACCAUUGGGGAUGCUUACUAUUUAUAGUACUUGAUGGGAUCACAAGGUUAGUUCAAAAAAGAUAAACUAUUCUUUGAUACACAGCUGUUCACGAUAUCAUAUUGAGAAAGACGCCAAUUAUUUUACCUAUUUUACUACUAGUGUAUCUCAACAAACAAGUAGGGAAAUCCAAUUAUUUUACUAUUCUUUUUUUUGAAGGAAUUAUUUACUAUUCUUGGAAUAGUGUGUACAUGCAAUUACUCCCUUCUAAUCUUUUUAUAUCAUCAUCUUACAUAAACUAUGAAUAUCAAAAGGAUUUUUCUAUCAAGUACUCAAAACGUUUUCAAUUAUAAGCAAAUUUAACUUUUUAUAUUCAAAAUGAUUUUUCUAUCAAAAACCAUGCUUAAACGUAUUACAAUAUCUUUGGCUAAUGAAAGAAAAGCUUGUGUCUUUUAACCAUAGGGUGGUUUGUAUUUAUGUAAAAUAUGAAGAAAAAAUAUAUAUAUAUCCGUUGAAUAAUUAUUUUGUUAUAAUAAGGUGUAUCAAGUGAGAGGAGUUUUUAUAAUGAGAGAUGAGAGGGUUGAGUUGUAACUCUUGGAAUUUCACCUCCUUCAUCUUGUUACGCGCGCCUUCUUUCUUCUCUCACAUAUGUUUCCAAUUCCUCACAAAUCCCAGACACCUUGAACCUUCCUCGCGACCGCUGCAAGGACUGUGUAUUUGCAUAAUCAACUCAACGUGCGUAGAUCCACCAUGACAAAUUUCCAUCCAUAUUUGUAUAAUCGGUUUCUAGCCACGGUUGAAGAUCGUCGAAUUGACUUCAGAAAAUCAGAUAUAAUCACUGAUUGAGUGACUGGGAAAAUUAAGCAAGAAGUAAUUAUGUGAUUGUCUCUUUGUUUGUGUGCAUAUAGAACAUUUAUCCGAUCUGUGAGUCGCAUCUAUUGAUGACUGUUAUUAGAGCUUUUGGGUCUAAUUUCAUGAAAAACUAAUAAUAUAAUUAAUUGUUACUUUAAAUCCCAAAUAAAAGUAAGUCCAAUCAUUUUAAAACGGAGGGAGUAAUAAAUUAAAAAUUUCAGGCAAAAAAUUGACAUAUAACCAAUCAUAUGCGAUCAAUGAAGAAGAAGAAAGAUAAAACUUAAAGAGAAGGUGUACCUUCUUUUUUUACUCAAUCCGUUUUAAAGCGAGUGUCGUUUUAGCAAAAAAAAAAUUGUUUCAAAAUGAAUGUCACUUUCAGUUUUCAAUGCAAUAAUAACUUUUUCUUUUCAAUUGUACCUUCAAUUAAUAUUAUAUACAUUACUUCCAAAGUAUUAUUUUUUCUUUAAUGAAAAACAAACUAAUAGUUGAUUAUGAUAAUUUGGUAAAAUAACAUCUUUUUUUUUUAAUUAAUGUAUUUCCUAAUAUAUUUAUAAAAACCUUAAACGACGUUCAUUUUAAAACAGAAUGAGUAAAAAACCAAAAUCAAACUAAUCCAUCAAAAUUAACACUUACGAAAAUCUAAAAUAAAAUUUUAAGAUGAGCAUUCCGAAUUGGGUUGCAACUUCUCUUUUUUUAAUUGUCUCCGGUUAUUAAAUUAUGGAAAGUUAAACAAGUAGGUGUAUGGUUGUCUUAUGUGCGAGAGAUUCCAAAGUCACAGCUGCUUUGGUGCUAUUUUUUUUUUUGGUUACAUGCUGCAUUAUGGUUAUUAAUAACUAUUUUUUUCCCCUAAUAAAUAAUAUGGUCAUUAAUAACUGUGCUUUGCUCUAUUAUUAAUUGUAUUAAUACGUGUGCGAGAUGGUAGAUCCGAAUUUUCCGGUCAUGAGAUACAAAACUGUUCACGUUCCCAUAUUGAGAAAAACGCCCAUUAUUUUUAGUUAAUAGUGUCACAACAAACACGUUAGGAAAGCCAAUUAUUUUUUUUUGUCUGCUUUGGAAAACCAAUUAUGAAUAGGUAUGUAACUAAAAUUAGGGUCAUGCUAACCGGUAUCAAGGUACUGGUUAAGGGUAUCAAAAAAGAAAGUUAUUACUAAAGAAAUUUUUUAACUUUUUAUGGAUUUAUUACAUAAUUUUUAAUACAAUAACUAUUAUAUAAUUUUCUUUUUUAAUAUCCUUAACUGGUGCUCCGGAGAAACCGAUUAGCAAUUUCCCUUAGAGGGUCAUGAUCUUAUGAGAUUAAGGAUAAGUUUCUCUCUGGUUUCAACCUCUUCUAGAUUUAAUAAAUAAAUUGACACAAUUUCUGAUACUUUAUUUUUAUAUUUGGUAUAGUAACAUUUGUUCUAUGAGUACAUGUUGGCAUUCCCUUAAGAGUUAAAACUGGUAAAAGGUUUAACGAUUGAAAAAUAUAGAGAAUUUGAAAUGAUAAAACUAUUAUUAGUGGUGAAGAUGCACAUGAAUUGGAAAUUGAAUACAUGUUUUUUGAGUAAAAAAUUGAAUACAUGCUCAAUUAAGUAAACUAUUAUUGAUAAUCAACAAUUGAUUUACAUUAUUUAAAAAAAAAAAUAUUGAUUUACGUAAUCGAAUACUAGUUUGAAUAAAAUUCGCCAAAAUUUGUUUUUUUUAUCUAGUAUUAAUGAAAAGUUUGGCUCUUUAGAUAAGCUCAUAGCAUAUAAGUUGUUGUGAAAGUGAUUUAAAAUUGGAUUUUUGAAAGUGCAAAAUUAGGGUCCGGUUUGGACAAAUCGAUGACUGAUUUUGAAUCAUUUUCCAGCCUUUGUAUUCGACAAUUUUCGGCGUCCGAUUGGUGAAAAUCGGCGGCCGAUUAUGCAAAACAGAUUUUUAUGGGUUAGAUUUAUUCCAAUUUUAUGCGGGAUACUUUUACUAUAAAUAUAGACCUUGUAUCAGAGUAAACAUUGAGAAAGGGGGUUGAAAACAAGGGUUAUGAAACAAACAACAAACUAGGGUUUAGAGAGAUUUCUCUAAGCGGGAGACACUAGAGUUUGAAUUGUUUUGAUUCACCUUGAACAAAACACUGUUAAGAUUGAGUCUCUUGGUCACAUGAAGAGAUUGAGACUUUAUGUAGAAUUAGGUUUGAAGACUAAUUCUUGUUACCUUUUGAUAUCUCUUUGUAAAGUUACUCAUCAUUAUAGUGGAACAGAAGGCUGCUCUCUCCCUCAGACUAGGUCAGUAUUGGACCGAACUUAGUAAACAAAUUUUGUGUGUUCUCUCUCUCUUUCUCUCUCUCUCUCUCUCUCUCUCUCUCUCUCUCUCUCUCUCUCUCUUUCUCUCUCUCUCUCUCUCUCAUUGUUUUCUACUUUACUUGUGUUUAUAAUUGUUACCCAUGUUGAUAUUGAUUGCUUAAUUAUUUUGCUCCACAAAUCAAGUAUUUUAUUGGUGCGAUUUUCAACAAAUUCACAACAUAAGUUAACUUAUUAUAAUGGAUAACAUAUAAGCUAGCUUAUAGAUGAAGCAGAUAGACUAUCUGAAUGAAUUUAUAUUGUUUGGUAAAAUUUGCAGUAGAACUAACUUAAAAAUGAUACAUUUAAUUAAUAAUUGAUUUUUUUUUUUCAAUUAAAAUUAUAGGGGUAAAAUUGAUAUAAAUAAUGAUAAGCUAUAUGCUUCAAACUACUAUAAACUAUAAACUAGUAAAAAUAGGUGAUAAAUUCAUGCAAAAGAGACACUUAUCAUUCUCUUAUAUGACCUUAUAAGAUAUGUAUAAGUUAUAAGAUGGAAAUAGGUCUUGCCAAACAGACUCCUAUCAUUCUCUUAGAAGGAAUUUUUUUAGGGAACUCUUAUAAGGAAUUGAAAUGAUGUUACAAAAAUCUGUAAACAUAUCUAAAACAUGACAAUGGCUCCGUCUAUGGUGGGAGACCUGAAUAGGUCUCAUACCGUAGGAGACAUAGUUUUUUUUUUCUUUUAAAAUGAAUAUGAAUCAUUGGAUAAGGGUUUGAUCAAAAUGUUUACUAUACACCUCCAAUACAAUUGUUUUCUAUUAUUCUAAACUUGUGUAUUUAUUCGACGUUGUUUUUGUUAGACAUAUAAUUAAGGACGACCAAAAUUAUGCAUGCAAACAUAUUUGCAGAUAAAAUUUACCCCGAGCUAGUACAUGACCAAUAUUUUAAUGGGUAUACACGAAUAAAAGAAAAUCAUAUUUUAAAUACUCGUAAGUUAAUAGAUGCACAUGCAGAUGAAAUAUUUAAUGAGAUUAUCUUCAAAAUAUUUAAUUACCUUUUUAUUAUUAAAAAAUACUUUUUUAUGUGUGUGGGCCUAAAUACUAUUUAUUUGAUAUUGUGACCGUAUUAAAAUUGCUCUUCUUGAAGACUAUGCGGUUAAUUAGUAAUGAGUGAUUGUAUGAAUUUUUCCGCUUACAAUAUUUUUUACUUUUGAAACAAAUGCAAACUACUAGAAAUACUCGAUUUUUCUGCGGAACUACCUGCGGAUUUAUGUGAAUAUUCCGCAGAAAACGGUUUUCCUGUGGAUUUUGUCAAGAAUUUAGGUUCCCAUGUAACAGCUUCGUGGGUAAUUGUUUCCUGAAGAUUUUAGGAUCCGCAGGAAGAGUGAAAAAAAUCCGCAGGAAACGUUGGGUUAGUGAUUAGGGAAUUUUCCUGCCCAUAAAAGCACUGUUUCUGCGAAUAUAUUCUCAGGUAUUUCCGCAGUAAAUGAAGCAGGAAAAUCCCCUAGACUCUUUUUCCACAGGAAAGUGAGCUAUUUAUUUAAAAAAAAAAUAAUGCACUUCAUUGCAUUGAACGAUAUAAAUAAUAGAAUAUACAAUUCUUAUAAAUUUCAGAAAUUAUAGAAGACACAGUUUCAUUAAUCAUGCAACAAAAUAAAAUUGAAAGUACCACAUGUCUCUUCAUAGUUGAACCUCCUAUACACAAUUGCUAAUGUCUCAUGCCUUCAAGUCUGUUCCACUCACACCACCUAAUAAACUUCCUAUAAUUACUAGCUAUCCUCCAAAUAUAAAGAUGUAUCGGAAAAGGAGCAUGAACCUCUUACCAACAUCUUCAAGAAGCUGCUAAUCCAAAUUCUUCAUCCAUGCAUUCAUCUAGGUUAGCCUUCUCUAGUACAUACUCAAUUUCAACUUGUCCAACAACCCAAAAAUUAAGAAAAAAAUAAUAGCAUAAGUUUCCUUCCUAAAUGAAAGGAUAUCUGAGAAAUUUCACCCAUAUACAAAACCCUGAUCAGCUUUGAGAAACUAUUAGGCUGAGAAAGACAAAGACAAAAGUGGCAAGUGCACCAAAUCAUUCAAGUAAUAAAGUAGUAAGUAAUCGUAUUUACUGGGGAUCAUUUUUUUUCUACUUGGCAAUUUACUAAACCUUUUAUUAAAAACUAUAAAUGAUGGAAAGUUUGGAAGUUUUAAUUGAUUAACUACAAAAAUAAAAAUGCAUAUUGUGACGAUUAAAAAUAGGACAGUUGAAAAUCUGUGACGGCUCCCCGAUUGUCGAGGACAUGUGUGUCGCUAGAGAAUUUCGUGUCAGUUCAAUAAAUGGUCAUUCCAACAGUCGCACAGGACAUUGCGACAAUUGGAAACCGCCCUUACUUGCGACAAUCGGAAACCGCCCUUAUAAUUAUCGCAAAGAACGCAAUGUUUAUAUUAGAAGGGCUAUUUUGCUUCAAACCAUCGUAGACAUGUGAUUUAUUUUUAUUUUCUACAUUUUCCAUUUUGAUUUUGAUAGUUUAUUCAAUAAGAAUUAAUCUUAAAUUAAAAUAAAAAAUAUUAAUAAAUACUAAAUGCAAAAAUAUAUAAUUAUAUAUGAUUAAAUCUCAUUCAUAUAAUCCUUUCAAGAAUAACAACAUUGAUUCCCUAAAAAAAAAAAAAAGAAUAACAACAUUGAUACAUACAUAAACUUGAUUAAAACAAUAAAUAAAAUAGUUUAACAUUCAAAAAGCCAAAACACUAGUGGAGUGGCUGAUUAUACAAAAGAACUACAUAAAAAUUAAUUGAUAAAAAUUAUCCCCUAGUGACUUUGCUCCAUGAUUCUCAAGGGAACGCCUGCCAUCUAGAAAUAAGCCAGUCCUUCACUCGUCCAUUUAGAAAUUAUACAAACAAAUGAAUACGUUGGUUGGAUUUGGAUACAUCAUGUGGGUUGAUUGUGUCGUAGGCCUUCACAGAGUGUGAGAGAUGUGCGUUGAAAUCUUCAGACUCCUUUCCUGAAAAUUAGUUAUCCUUCAUAGAAUUGAGGACACGAUUCUUAAUAUCAAACACCAUGGGGUUUGCAGGUUGGAACCUGAGAGACAUUUAAUCAUAGUUGGUCUUCUGCUAUCAUGUAAGAACUGCAAGUGCAUGAGAAUGCAUCAUGCGCAGUGCCCAAGAGUAUAAAACUAUAAUCAUAGGAUUUAUAAAAGAGAAUCACAUCAUUUUAGCAGAUUCUGAUUUAGUAUGUUUAAGAGAUAGCAGAUCAGAGUUUGACUUCAUAUAACCCUCUUUCUGUACAUAUUGCCUUAUAUAGUUUAUUGUAUUUAAGUCCUAGUUUAUUGUCAUUAAUUCUCCUUUGUUGUUUGGGAUCAGCUAGGCUUGACUUUAGGGAUUUUGAUAGGAAAACUCUGUAUAUAUGUAACACUGAUUUACAAUGAAAGAUAUGACAGUGAAACACUUUGGUUCCUGUCUUUAUAUGGCAUCAGAGCAAUUCUGAUCCUAAAUUAGAAACGUUUGCUGAAAAUGGCGGACAAAAAUGAUUCCACCAUAGAAGGUGGGAUCAAAGGAGAUCGAAAUGCAGAAACAAAAAUAGCUGGGAAGAAGACACCUUCUCCGUAUGAUCUGAGUUCGCACGACAAUCCAGGAAGCGUUAUCACCCAAGUCCAAUUACGUGGUGAAAACUACGAUGAAUGGGCUAAGGCGAUGAAGACCUCAUUACGGGCACGACGUAAAUGGGGGUUUGUCGAAGGAAACAUAAAACAACCUGAAGAAGGAUCGACAGAAAUGGAGGAUUGGUGGACCGUACAAUCUAUGCUCGUGUCUUGGAUCCUGAACACUAUAGAUCCAACUUUGCGAUCGACCAUCUCUUAUAUGGAGAAUGCAAAGGAAUUGUGGGAAGACAUCAAAGAACGAUUCUCAAUUGUGAAUGGACCUAGGAUCCAACAAUUGAAAUCGGAUCUGGCACAAUGUAAACAAGAAGGAAUGGCCAUGGUGAAUUACUAUGGAAAACUCAAGAUGCUUUGGGAUGAGUUGGUAAAUUACCAACAAAUCCCAAUCUGCACGUGCUCAGGAUGCAAAUGCGGCAUCAAGUCGAAAUUAGAGAAGCAAAGAGAAGAAGAAAGAGUGCAUCAGUUCUUGAUGGGACUAGAUGAUGUGUUGUAUGGAACAGUCCGCUCUAAUUUGCUUGCUACUGAUCCGCUGCCAUCGCUGAACAGAAUAUAUGCUACUUUGAUACAAGAGGAGCGUGUGAAAUCAAUUGCUAGGACCAAGGAAGAACGAGGAGAGGUCGUUGGCCUGGCCGUGCAAACUGCUGGAAGGGCUAGAGGACGUGGUGAUAUGAAGGAGAAGAAUGCGGUAUGUUCAUACUGCAAUCGAACAGGACAUGAUGCAUUAAGCUGUUUUCAGGUAGUUGGAUACCCUGAUUGGUGGGGAGAUAGGCCACGAAAUGAAACUAAGAUGGGUGCAGGUCGAGGAAAAGGACAACAACAAACCAGAGGUUCUAAUCAAGGACGUGGGAGAAGCACAAUUAUUCGUGCAAAUGCUGUCCAAACAAAUGAAGGAGGCCCGGUCGUGACAAAUGCAGAUGCAAGCGGGUUGACAGGUUUAAGUAGUGAGCAGUGGCAGACUUUGGUAGAGCUUCUAAACACUCAUAAGGGAAGCAAUACGGAAAGAAUGACAGGUAAAAAUACAAUAUGGAUUGUUGAUACAGGCGCUUCUAAUCACAUGACUGGAAAUGUGAGAUUUUUGCACAAAAUGAAGAGCGUGCAAGGAUGCCCGGUGGGUCUGCCAAAUGGAGAACAAGCUGCUGCUACUCAAGAAGAAAGUGUAAUUCUUGAAGGGGGCCUGCAACUUAACAACGUUCUAUAUGUGCCCGGAUUAAAUUGCAACUUGAUAUCUGUAUCCCAAUUGAUAGAUGAUAUGGAUUGUGUUUGUCAGUUCACUAACUCUCUAUGUAUUAUGCAGGACCGCACUUCGAAGACGCUGAUUGGAGUGGGUGAACGAAGAGAUGGGCUCUACCAUUUUAGAGGGAUUCGACAUGAGAAAGUCUGCAAAGUAGGAGACAUGUCUUUGUUGCAUCUUUGGCAUAAACGCAUGGGACAUCCUUCCAUGAAGAUUAGUCAGUUAAUUUCAAAUGUUGGUAAAAAUAAGAGUGUGAUUGAAAAUAAAGCCUGUGAUGUUUGUCAAAGGGCAAAGCAAACUAGGGAUAGUUUUCCUUUAAGUGAUCACAAAGCUAGUAGUAGUUUUGAACUAGUUCACUGUGAUUUGUGGGGGCCUUACAAAACUCCUUCUUCAUGUGGAGCGUAUUAUUUCUUAACAAUAGUAGAUGAUUUUUCUCGAGCUGUUUGGAUCUAUUUAUUGCUUGAUAAAAGAGAAGUUUCACAAACUAUAUUAAGUUUUAUUGCUUUGGUAGAUAGACAAUAUGAGAAGCAAAUUAAAAUAAUUCGCAGUGAUAAUGGAACUGAGUUUACAUGUUUAAAAACAGAAUUUAUCAAGCGUGGGAUCAUUUUCCAAACAUCUUGUGUGGGAACGCCACAACAAAAUGGACGGGUCGAAAGAAAGCACAGACAUAUCCUAAACAUUGCCCGAGCACUGAGAUUUCAAAGCAAUUUGCCUAUUUCUUUCUGGGGUGAGUGUGUUUUAACAGCAGGAUACCUCAUAAAUAGGACUCCAACACCUCUGUUAGAUGGAAAAACCCCAUAUGAGAUGCUAAAUGGGCAGCCACCUUCAUAUGAACAUUUGAAGGUUUUUGGAUCUUUAUGUUAUGCACAUAAUCAAGGAAGGAAAGGUGAUAAGUUUACCAGCCGAAGCAAGAAGUGUGUAUUUGUAGGAUACCCUCCCGGGAAGAAAGGAUGGAAGUUGUUUGAUCUAGACAACAAAAAUUAUUUUGUGUCAAGAGAUGUAGCAUUCUUUGAGAAUGAGUUCCCUUUUGCCUCUAUUGAUAAAAUUUCGAGUGAGCCAACACAAAUUAUCGAAAAUGAGAACUAUGAAACUCAAAGUGCAGUGAGUGAACAUCAGGAGCUACCUUUGGAAGUGGAAAUUUCUGAAUUAAGGGGGGGUACUGAUGAAGAGAAUGUGCAAGAAGUUGGGACAUCACAAGUGCUACAACAAGAUGAUGAACAUGAAGAAAUUAGUGAAGAAGAUCUUGGUCGAGGUAAACGCGUGAAGAAUCCCUCUGUAAAGCUGAAUGGUUAUGUGACAUAUAAUGUACAAAAAAUGGUUAUGAGCCCAUCUACGAGUUCACUCCCUCUACAGCCGAAAUCAGGUGCGCCCUAUCCCAUAAUGCAUUAUGUGAGUUGUGAUAAUUUUUCAGUGCAGCACCGCAGGUUUCUUGCUGCUGUAAGUGCAGAGAAAGAGCCGAAAAAUUAUUCUACGGCCGUUAAAGAUCCUAGAUGGCGUACAGCUAUGCAGCAGGAGAUACAAGCGCUUGAAGAUAAUCACACAUGGACUAUAUGCUCUCUCCCAGCAAAUAAAAAGGCCUUGGGGUGUAAAUGGGUAUACAAGAUCAAGCAUCGUUCCGAUGGGACCGUAGAACGGUUUAAAGCUCGACUCGUGAUCCUUGGAAAUCAUCAAGUGGAGGGGAUAGAUUACAAUGAAACAUUCGCUCCUGUAGCUAAAAUGGUUACAGUUCGAAUUGUGCUAGCAGUUGCUGCAGCCAAGAAGUGGGAACUCCAUCAAAUGGAUGUUCAUAACGCCUUCUUACACGGAGAAUUGCAAGAGGAGGUGUUCAUGAAACUGCCCCCUGGUUUUCGUCCCUCUCAACCAGAGAUGGUAUGCAAGCUUGGGAAGUCACUGUACGGAUUAAAACAAGCUCCCCGUUGUUGGUUUGCUAAGCUUUCCUCAGCCCUCAAACAAUACGGAUUUCAUCAAUCAUAUUCUGAUUACUCUUUGUUUACCUUGUUUGAUAAAACUGUGCAGCUUGUGGUUUUAGUUUACGUUGAUGAUUUGAUCAUUUGUGGAAAUAAUCAUGAUUCGAUUGAACGGUUCAAGGAAUACUUGAGUCGUUGUUUCCAUAUGAAAGAUUUAGGAUUGUUGAAAUAUUUCUUGGGGGUGGAAGUGGCGAGAUCGCCUUCUGGGAUUUUUCUCUGCCAAAGAAAGUAUGCUUUGGAUAUUAUUAGUGAAGCCGGGCUACUUGGAGCAAAGCCUAUGCCGACUCCACUCGAGCAGAACCAUAAUCUCAGUCUUGCUCAAGGGGAGUUUCUUGAAAAUCCUGAAAGGUACCGUAGGCUUGUUGGACGCCUUAUCUAUCUUUGUUUUACUCGACCUGAGUUGUCGUAUAGUGUCCAUAUUCUCUCUCAGUUUAUGCAGCAACCACGAGAAGACCAUUGGACUGCUGCGCUAAGGGUGGUGCGGUAUCUUAAAGGGAAUCCAGGCCAAGGUAUAUUUCUUGACAGUACAAGUGAUAUGAAGCUGCACGGGUGGUGUGAUGCUGACUGGGCAGCUUGCCCUAUCACUCGCAGAUCACUCACAGGUUGGGUCAUCUUCUUGGGGAACUCGCCUAUCUCUUGGAAGACCAAGAAGCAGCAAGUUGUGUCUCGGUCAUCUGCUGAAUCCGAAUACCGUUCGAUGGCUAAUACAACUUGCGAGUUAAAGUGGGUGAAGAGUAUUCUUUGCAGUCUAGGUAUCUCUCAUUCUAUGCCUAUGCAACUCUAUUGUGAUAGUCAGUCUGCGCUUCACAUUGCAAAGAAUCCCGUCUUCCAUGAACGUACCAAACACAUUGAAGUGGACUGUCAUUUCGUUCGUAAUGAAAUACUUCAUGGUCAGCUUCAACCUUCUUAUGUUUCCACUCAUGCUCAACUCGCAGACAUACUUACUAAAGCAUUGGGUCGUGCUCCAUUUCAAUUCCUACUUGCCAAGUUGGGCAUUCGAAAUCUUCAUGCUCCUACUUGAGGGGGGGUAAAAGAGAAUCACAUCAUUUUAGCAGAUUCUGAUUUAGUAUGUUUAAGAGAUAGCAGAUCAGAGUUUGACUUCAUAUAACCCUCUUUCUGUACAUAUUGCCUUAUAUAGUUUAUUGUAUUUAAGUCCUAGUUUAUUGUCAUUAAUUCUCCUUUGUUGUUUGGGAUCAGCUAGGCUUGACUUUAGGGAUUUUGAUAGGAAAACUCUGUAUAUAUGUAACACUGAUUUACAAUGAAAGAUAUGACAGUGAAACACUUUGGUUCCUGUCUUUAUAAUUUACAGCCAUAGCUGUUCUCUAUAAUUGCUCUACAAUUCCCAGUAGUUAAAUUUAUUUACCUGGAGUUGAUGAAAUUUGAGCAAGUAAACAGUGGAUUCUACAUACAUUGGAUUGCUUUCUACAUAUCUAAAAUAACAAUCAAAAUGUCAGUGAGCAUAAAUAUUGUUUAAUUAUUACAAAUUUCAUAAAUGAAUGUUGUUUAGUACUUACGAGAUGCAUUCAUCAAGCCUUUUGAGAAGUGGGAGGAAGUUUACGAUUCCAACAUUCAUAUUUGAAGAAUAAAAAUUGGUAGCAACCUGCACAUGACGAUUUAAAGAAACCACAUACAUCAUCUAUAAAUUCAUAAGUAUGUGAAGUUUUCAGUUUGCAUUCGCAAAUUUUUAACUGCGUAUCUUACUCACCAUAACUCAUUACAAGGUAUAGUUAAAGCUAACCACAUUUUAGUGUCAUUUUAUUCACCAUAAACACAUGAGAAGAAUCUUUGCAAUAUGCAAUAAUCUUAUAUGUUCCCUGCAUUUCAAUUUUAAAUAAUGCUUUAUCCUUCCAGAUUGAGUACAACUUCAUACUUUAGUUUUGUAGAUUAAAAUACACUAAAAUGCACAUAGCUAUGUAGAUUAAAAUGACAUUGAUAAUGAUAUCCAGUAGUUGUAAAGACUUCAUUAGUAAGUUUAACUCAAGUUUAAAAAUUCUUGUAACUUCACAAGUUAAUAACUAAAACUCUUAAGCAUCAUAACUCAAUUAUUCCCUUUCCUUUAAUUUUUUGUAAUGGCUGUAUUCUCUUUCCUUGUCUUACCCAGAAUUGCAAAACACACCCACGACGACCUUAUGAACAGUCACAAAACAACCUUACAAAUAUGUAACGACACAAUCGACUUUCUCUAAUUCUUCAAUCUAUAGAGCUUGCAAUAAGAGAAGUUGAUAUGAGAAAUUCAAUGGGUUCAGUUCAGCACACAAAGAAUAUUUGUUAUUUGAAAAUAAAAAACCGCAUGAGAAUGUUAUGGAUCUUCUUCGGUUCCUCCUUCUGCUGCACUAUUGAAGAUUGAAGAUGUUGUAUUAAGGUGUUUUUGGAUCUGGGUACAGCACAAUUUUGUUGAGAAUAAUAAAAAAAAAAAAAAAAAAAAAUUAGACUUAUUUAACCGGUUGCCGGUUUAAGAAAUUAAAAAUGAAAUGACGCGUCCGUAACUGAAUGAGCGACUGCCCCUAACAUUACUCUAUUUAUUAUUCAAUGGUUAGGAUUUCAUCGGACCUUCUAGUCAUUAGAGAGGAUUCAUUCCUGUCCUUUAACCAUAGGGUGCUUAGUAUUUUGGUAUUUAAGUUGAUGGUAUCACGUGGUAAUGGCUCAGGAUAAGAUAUUUUGUUUGACUCAUCAUCAAACAAAACAAAUUCAAAUUGAUUCACUGCAUUAUUAUUUUUGGUUUGUUAUGUACUGCUCUGACGUUAUUUGAUGGUAUCACGUGCUUUUUUUCUUCUUCUUCUGUUUGCUCUGUUAAAAAAAGUUCUAUUAUUACGUGAGUGGUUAGCUAGAUCAUAUUUAGAAGGACCACCGAUAAACACCAAAAAAUAAAAAAUAUAAUCGAUGUUUAAUUUUUUAUUUAUUUAUUAAAAAAGACAAUUGUUCAUUCGAAUCUAUGGAAAUACAUGAAAAAACACAAAUUCAACCAAGGAAGACGGAAUUUACUAUUAAAACACGUAUAUUUGAUAGUGGUUCCGGAUGUAGAAAACUAAAGUUUGUGUUGAGGUUUAAAGGAGACGAUAAGCAUAAAGGAAUAAAGAUAAAGUUGAAACAAGAAGGCACAUGUUUAAGAAAAUGCAGAUGUUCCAUUCAGGUUGAGUGGUUUUUUUAGUGCAUAAAAAAUAUGGAGUCUUGGUUUUGUUUCACGAUUGCAUAAUCAUGAGAUGCAGUCAAAGUUAGAAGGUCAUAUUUUGGUGUGUCGUUUAAAUAUUUUGUCUACUUUAAAAGAUAGACGGAAAGACAACAGUUCCAAAGCAAGUUUACAAUCUACGUCAAAGAUAAAAAAGACCAUAAGGGUGUGUUUGGUUUGCAAAACAACAAGUACUGGACAGAACAGUACAAGAUAGAACAGUACAACACAAGGCAGAACAGCACAAAACAAAUUUUUUAUGGCAUUGAGUAAUUUUUUGUUUUAUACGAUUUUUGAGGGACAAAAUGCUAUUUUGGUAUUUUAGACAACUUGUACGUGAGACAAAAAGUUGUGUUGUGGUUUGGUGAGGGACAAAAAUAUGAGUUUUUGUCCUAUCUUUUACCUCCAGUUUGUCCUAUACCUGAAACAGUUUUAUAAAUCAAACACUGGACAACUACAGUUGUUAUGUUUUGUCCUUCAUUUUUUAGCAAAUCAAACGCACCCUAAGAGAUUGGAGAAAAUGAAGCAAAUUGUUGAAGUGUUUGAAGAAAACAACUAAGCUUUCAGGUAUAAAUGUUUGGGGAGUCAAAAAUUGUUCAAGACAUGUUUUUGGUACAUCCUAAACAUGUGAACUUGUUUAACACUUUUUCUACUCUUUUGCUAAUGCAUUUCAUUUAUUUCCUUCGAUCACUAUUAUAAUAAAAAAGCAUUUAUAAGAUUUAUUGAAUUACUUAUAUAUCCAGUAUUAUAGAUUAAAUACGUCAGUUAUUCUAUUAAUAAAAAAUGGUUUUUUUCUUAUAAUAGUGAAGGUAAUGAGUAUAAAAUAUCAAUUACUGAGAUGUAUUGUUUGAGAUAGUUUGCAUUAGUCAUAUAACUCAAUACCCAAAACACCUGACUCACAUUUUGUCAGCGGUAGUCAAGGUUUUACAACUCAAGAGUUUACCUCAACUCGUUUUGCUUAGGUAAACUCCACUCUUAAACUCGAUUCGAGAAUUCGUACGAGUUUACCUAAAAUUAAAAUUAUAUAAAAUUUAUUAUAUGCAUGACAUAUAUAAGUUAAUAUAAUAUUGUAAAUAGGUUAAUAGUGCAAAAUAUGACUUAAUUACAAAGGAAAAUUAUAUGAAACUUCUAUAAUGAAACGUUAUGCUCAACUUAGCAUCAAAAUACAAAAAUUAACGCACAUAAUUAUAAGUUUCAUAAGUCUCUAAGUUUAAGUCAUCCAUAAAACCAUCCAAAAAAGCAAGUUUCACAAGUUUAUAAAGUUGUUAAUAAAACUAGAGAAAUGCUAGCAACACUCUCUUUUGGACACUCUCUAACACUCACUCUUUUAUUGGAUAAAAUCAAUGUAUGUCCCACCAUUUUAUGUGGGUUCCAUUUCCAAAGUAUACGACCCACAUUGUUUUAACCCAAUAAGAGAAUGAGUGUUAGAGAGAGUGUCCAAAAGGGAUUGUUGCUAGCAAUCCUCAUAAAACUAUCCAAAAAAUAAACUGGCUAAUUUCUUCAAAAAGUCAUCAAACACCACCACCGCAACCCUAACCAACAUCGCAAUCACCGGCGUUGCAAUCGGAAUUUCCCCCAUCGAAAUCGCAACCCUAACUAAUAUGUGCUCUCAUGUUCAUGGUUUGAGAACUCAGAUAAGAAAAAAAAAAAGAAACGUUUCAUUUCAGGAAGCUAGCAAUGUGUUACUGUAAAAGUAACUAUUUGAUAAACGUUUCAGUCUCUGGGCUUUUAGAAUCGAAAUUGGGUUUUGAAAAAAACUUAGCCCAAAAAAAUGGGCCAAUUUUUACUUUUUUUUUAGAUUUAAACUCGUAAAACUCGGUCAAGUUUACACGAGUUUAUCGAGUGUACGUUAACUUGGUCAAACUUGUCAAACUUUCCGAUUUUACCAUAAACAGAGUUUACCUCCGAGUUAACACGAUUUUGGUACCUAAAAACAUAAAUUCGAUAAACUCGGCGAGUUACCACUCAAUUUGCGGAACAUUGCCGGUAGUACAAUAGUUAAAUUGGCAUAUUGGAUUCAAUAAUUCGAUAUGACAUUAACUUGGAGCAUUAGUCUCGGGUCUGUCCAGAGAUUGUGUCCCAUCUCAACUUCUAUGGUUUUUUCUUCAUGAAAUUCUUGCGGAAAAAAAUUCUGUUUUAAUUAGGCAUGGCAACAAAACUCAUACCCUCACGGUUACCCACAAAAAUCAAACUCAAUUUGACGGGCUUUCUCCGUUUUGACUGAGUUUGGGUAUGGGUUUGGGUCUUCCCCGAUUUUAAAACACGGGUACAAGACGGGUAACGGGGAUAUAGGUACCCAUGCUCAAACCCAUCCUGAAUGUAGAAAAUCAAUUUAUUACCCAUUUUAUAUAAACAGAAACCCAAACCCUAAAUCAUUUCACUCACACAAUUAGAGUCUCAGACUUUAAAAUGACACUCACUUAUCAUAGUUCUCUUCUUUCUCCUUCCAUGCCUCACACUCUCGGCCUCUCUCUUCUCCUUCACUAUAGCCAUCCAUUUCCAUAAUCUUUUUGCUGGAUAAUGCAUUACAACAUUGCGCUCGGGGAUGCAAAAUACUUUUAUUUCUAUCAACAACAGAAAACUUUCCGGGGAUGGGAUGGGGCAGGAAUAUCCGAACCCGUCGGGGACGGGGAUGAGAUUCGAUUUCUCAUCCCCGCUGGAUAUGGGUAGGGUAACAGGUAAGUAUAUGAGAGUAGAGUAUGGGGACGGGGAAGGUAAAACCCGUCCCCACCCCCGCCUCAUUGCCAUGCCUAAUUUUAAUAAAGCACUUUCAUAUAAAAAUAAUCAAUUUUUUACCUUAUGAGUUGAUGUAUGUAAGAUUCUUUAACUUACUUAUCUAUAGUAGAAAAACAAUUGGUACAUGAAAUAUAAUCACUAUUGUCUAUGAAUAUUUCAACGUUAUCAUUUUUUUUUUGUCAUGCCAUAUUGCAUAUUUGUAUAAGCUUCGAUGUUCACAAUUCAUUUUCUUAAAUUAUGAAGUUUGCAUUUCAGAUAUAUCAUAAAAUAAGUCCAUCACAAUAAAAGGUACAAUCAUAGUAGUGUUUAUUAAUGAAAAUGAUAACAAUCAAACAAACAUUGCAUAAAAACAUGACCAUACAAAGGGAAAUAUGAGGGAAAUGGAUUCCUUCUCAUCUUUUAUUCAAAGCAAGAAACAACAAAACAACCAUGACAUUUUCUAGAUGGAGACACUGUUGGGAAUGCCUCUGAAAGUCAAUCCUGGCUCACUUGAAGGAUAGAGCACAGUGUAUGGCAUCUUCACUGGCCCAUUCCUGUUUCUCAAUGAUUCAUCGUUGUUCCUUUCAAUGAGCUUUUGCUCAAUUUCAGCCAACUUCUUUCCAAACUUCUUGAAGGCCUCUACUGGCUCUGAAUCGUAAGUCCAAAGAUCACCUUCGAUUCUGUGUCCAAUGUAUUGCUCAUCAGAAACAUGUGUUGACAAUUGCUCCAUAACAGAUAUGUUCACAACGGUAUCCGUUUUUGGUGUGAUUGUUCUCAAAUAAGCCUUCUCGUAAUCCUUAGCAAGCUCGUCAUACUCAGGGGUUCCUUUCUCAGGCAUGAAUCUUCUGCUUUUAGUUGGUCGGUUAACAAUGUAUCCACCGUACGGAUAUUGUCCAAAAUUAACAGCUGCAUGAAGUGCUGAAGCAAUCCAUAUGAGGGUGGUGCAAGUUUCAAUCAACUCUGUACGAGUUUCCAAUUUAACCCACUUAUCAGUCUUCGAGUCACCAUGACCCACUUCUACAAGUUCUUUCCAAAAUGCUUUGAGUUCCUCAUCAUCUUUAACAUCUUUAUCUGACUUGUAGUAGAAAUUGACAUAUUCAUCAACCCAUGACUUAAUAGCAGCCCAUAUCUCUAGUCCAUCAACAGCAUAUGGAUAAUCCUCUAUCAGAAGACGCAGACCAUGUGGAGAUUUUGGAUCCUUAACAGCCACACCUCUAGAUAACAAGCAAGGAAGAUAAUAUUAACAUACAAAAAUUUAAGUGAUAUUAAUAACUAUUUCGAACUUAUUAAUUUAAGUUGGCUAGAAUUUGUUAAUAGAUAGUUAGCUUAUUAAUUUCGUAGUUUCUUUGUUCAUUCUCUAUUUCUCUAUGGAUACAAAACAAAACUCUUGCAUCUAAACUGACAUCUCAUGGGUGUAAAAGAUUAUUUUUGAGAUCAAUGUCUUUCUAAAAAUGGACUAGACGACGAUGUAAUAAUUUGUAAGGUCACCUUUUGAUUAGAUCAUUAGGUAGUCCUUGAUCUUGGAAAACCCAAUCCUUGUAAACUUCAGAAGACAAUUCCAUUGAAUAACUUCCAAACAAGUAUGUUGACUCUAUAAUACCCCCUGCUUUGAUCAAGGUAUCUCGCGCAUUGGCAUUUAUGUUCAUUGUGUUACGAUAGUGUGGAAGUAAAAGUUUAUGAAUAGGGUGAACCACACUAAGAUGCCUAUUUGUUGCUAUGAUGAAUGGCUCAACAACAGCAUGAGUGUUCAACCUGUCACACAUGUAGAUAUAUAUUCAUAAAAUUACUCGGAUAUAUCAAAUAUUAGUGUUUGAUUGUAGAAAAAAUGAUUAAUGAAAUUCAUACCAGUGGCUGAUAAGUUGGUGAUAGCAUGCGUCAUUCACAACAGCGUAAGCCUUGGCAAGGUGCCAAAUUGAAGCAUCAACACCUUCACUUGCAGGCGUGUAAAUAGUAGUAACAGUACCAUCACCAGCAGGAUGUGGCACAUGUAGUUCAAUGGAUAUUGGCUUCAAAGUUCCAUCAUCUUGCAAAGAGAGAAGGGUCGUUGAGGCAUAGGCCUUUGCGGCGCCAUUUGCAUUUACUUUCCUCAAAUAUGGUAAGAUUGCAUCUUGGUAAUCAACUACGUAUAAUCUAAGGUCCUUGAUAGUCUGUUAGACAGAAUAAAAUUUAGCCAUUAUGGUUCCUUUGAAGAAAAAAAUGAAUUCAACAUAAAAAUAAUAGUAAAAACAUUAAUUCUUCCGAGUAACAUUGAAAUGUAACACUCUUUACCUGUUCUACACUGACUCCAUCCUGCAUGUAUGGCUCGAAGUGUUUUUUGUUUAUUGUGGUUGUAUUCUACAUUUGACAUAGCAAGCAAUGAGGUUAGUUAUCAAUUAUAAAUUUAGCAUGAAAAUUGAACAUGGUAGUCUUUUUUAUUUAUUUCUUUUGUACUUGCUUAAAAAUAUUUAACUAUUAAGUUUAAUUACCCCAACUUUUUUGAUGACGUUUGGAUUCACACCAGCAAUCAUCUCCCUUGCAAAUUCCUCAUCAGUCAUCCAUGCAGUGCGAUCCUCUACUCAUAGUAAGAAAUUUUCAAAAGAUUCAUGAGCUUUCUUUAUAUGAUUGUGUAUAUAAUUAAAUAUAUUGUUAGGACUAGGAAUUUCCGACUAAUAUUUACCUUGAAUCACUAGUGGUGUUGAAAACUUUGGAUGUUCACCAGCGAAAAGCGAGAGCACGUCAUCAAAGGAGUUAAACUCUACUUGAUCAUUUUGUAAUCUUACUAGCGAUCUUAAUUGAGGUGUCUCAUAUUGAGAUAUUGAUUUGAUGGUGUUAACAACAAAGUCUGACGAUUUCGGAGGGAUAAUUAAUUCAUCUCUUGGAAUGUAAAAAUAGUUACUCCGACUCUCAGUCUCUGGAUCUGUUCAUUAUAGUAACAAAAUAUGUUUUGUCGAAAUAAGUAAAAAUAUAUAUCACAACAAAAAAUUGCAAACAGACACAAGUGUUUGGAGUCUCACAUUUCUCGAGGUGUUUUCUGCCAGUUCUUCCCCUUCGAGGGUAAGGCAAGGCAGUUGAUCCCCCAAGAACUGGACGAUACAAGCAAGGAUUUUGGUCUGGUUGACCCAAAUCAUUGUAGACAUCAUAAUCAUAUAUUCUGUCCCAUUCCUUACGCUCUCCAGUUCCAUCUCCUCUUAAAGUAUUCAAUUCUUCUUGUCUGUAGUACAGUAAUGGAGCUGGUGUUUCCCUUAGAAGGUAUGCCUACAAAAUUUUAACCAUUGGGUGCUGUCAAGUUUUUGAAAAAAGAAAAAUAUACAUUUAAAAAGUUACAUGAAAAUGAUAAAAUGGUUUGAGCUCAGGUACGUGAGUUCAACUUCCUCUACAAACAUUUUUAAUAACUAAUCGUUAAUAUUUGUCGCUCGAAAAAAAUAUUGAACAAGAUAUAUGUUGGAUAGAAUUGAUAUCAUUACCUUGUUGGCAAAGAAAAUGCGUUCAGUUUGGUACUUUUCAGCAUUGUAAAUCCAUGAGUUGCAAAUAAAGUUUGUGGUUUCAUGGCUUUCAACAUCUUCAAGGGUCAAACUCACAAGGAAGAUUUCAUCUUGCGUAAAAUUCUUAACAUAGAAAGCUCCUGGAAUUCCCAUGUGAUUGGGAUCCCAUUCAAAAUGAAUACUGAAAGCAUUUUGUAUGUCUCCCAAAUUUGGUAUGGAAGUAACAAAACCAUCCAUAAACGUUUCCUUUCCCACUUUUCCUUUUCCAGUAGCUAUGUUAAAAAUGUCAAAUAUUAGUUUCUCAGUUUCACAAAUGAUGAUGAUUCUCAACUAAUUAGUUUUCAAAUAUUAAUUUUUUUUUACAACUAAUUUUUUUUUUCGCCUAUACAAAAUUUGUCAUCCAUGUGCACGUUAUUGUAUAUAGUUAUAUAAAGAAAUUAUUACCAUCAGCUUUGGAAGCACUAAUCAACUUGAAACCCACAGAAGUGUCCAACAAGGUAGGACGAACGGUAUCACCUUCAUUCUCAACAACAGUAUUACCACCAAUAACUUUGUAGUUCAAUGCAUUCUUUUUCAUCAAAACCACAGUUCCCUUCAGCUUUGUGACCAUGUUCAAUGAAGUCAUCUUUGAUGCUUAAAUGUAUUACACUAUCUUUGGCUAAUGAAAGAAAUGUUUGUGUCUUGUAACCAUGGGGAUGCUUGGUAUUUAUACUACUUGAUGGGAUCAUUUAGGUUUUUGUUUUUUUGAAAAAUGCUAACUUUGGGCCCAGGGGCGGAGCCAUAAAUUAAAUAAUGGGGGGACCAAGUUUAAAAAAUAUACUCUAGUUAAACAAAAAAAAGUUCAAAUCUACUAAAUAUAUGAGAAAUUUAAGUUACAUUUGAUGUUAAUAUUGUGAGAAGAUAGAAAAAUUAGAUUCAUUUGUGCAUAUAAUAUAAGACUUCAAAUAAAAAUGCUAAUGAUGGAGGGACCACAUUGACAUUUCUAAUGAAAUAACAACAUAUAUAGCAAUAUAUUAGGAGCAUAAAAAAAUUUAUAAGAAAAUUUGGGGGACCAUGGCCUCCCCUGGCCACCCAAGUCCCUCCGCCCCUGCUUGUGCACUUAGGGCACAUGUUAAGAAUUCUGUUAAUAGAAAUUAUGUAUAAAAAAUUGUGUUAAUUUACUGCUCAAAAUGUUUAAUAUUAAUUUUUUACAAUAAAUUCUUACCAUUAAUUGAAUGACAUUAAUGUUUAACAUGUGUCAUAAGGACACAAAUUAGCAUGACCCUUGUUUUUUUACUAAAAUAUGAUAUUCAUUCAAAUUGAUAGAGUAUAAUAGAAAUAAGGGGUAAUAGUCAUUUUGGUCAUGAAUGUGUAACAAGUAGCAAUAAUGGUCCUCAAUGUAUCGAAAUUUCAAAAUAGUUCAUGAUUGUGCACUUUAUUAGUCAAAAUAGUUCCUAACAUUAAAAUAGUUCUUUAAUAUUAUCAUAUUAGUUCUUCAAUAUACUUACAUAUUGUUGUAUGAGACUUUAUAAGUACUUAGUUAUUCCUUCAAAAAAAAAAGUGCUUAGUUAUUGUUAUUUCAGUCAAUAUAUGACAAAAGUUAUUGUGAAUAUUGAGAGAUUAUUUUAGCGUCAAAGACUAUUUCGAUUAACAAAGUGCACAAUUUGGAACUGUUUUAAAAUUUUAAUACAUUGAGAGAUUAUUGUGACCACUCGUGACCAAAAUGACCAUUACCCUAGAAAUAAACACAAAUUCAACAUCACUAGAAAAACAAAAAAGAAUAAAUUUGUAAACAAACUCACAUCACUCAAAUUAAUAACAUAAAACAUCAAAAUACAUACAAAUAAUAUGAUAAAAUUAAAUUAUCAAAGUACUUAUGUCUUCAUAUCAACAACUUUAACGCCUAGCUUAUUGAUUAAUCAAAGUUGAAAUGUGGCAAUAUAACCAGAACAAUACCACAACAAUUUAUCUAAAAAAAUAAAAUCCACCACAAUUACAAGAAAUAAAAUACGUCGCACCAAAUUGUUAGCAACUAGUUUCUAUAUCUUUGUUAAUUCACCCACAAGUUGUAUUGAACACAUUUUAAUUAAUGAAGUGAUAUAAUUUUUCUUUCCAAAAAAAAUCGUCGCACCAAGAUGACAAUGUCACAUUAAAACGACGAAAUCAAAAACAAAAAAAAAAACCUAAUCUAUGUGAAAAUUAUUAGUUUUUAUUUUUCGUGAUGUCCGGGGUUCGAACACCGGACCUCGCAUAAUUAUGCAUCGUCCUUACCAACUGAUAUAAGCUCAGAAGGACAUUAUUUUUUUUUUAUGGUCGCUGGGGUUUAAACUCCGGACAUUGCAUAUAUUAUGUUUUGUCCCUAUCAACUGAGGUAAGUUCACGAGGACACGGGGACAUUAAUGUCUAUUAAAAGAGAGAGCAAUAUAAUUUUUUUUGUACAAAUAAUACCUAAAAUCAAUCUUCUUCCAUCAACAAAGAAGAAGAAAGAAAAAACUUAGACUAUUACUUUUCCCAACUUAUAUUUUACUAGCGAGUCCUGUGAUUUUUUCAAAAAUGCUCCUGUGAUUAUCAGAUUUUAAAAUUCGAACUGAGUUUUUUCUUUAUUAUAGGGUGAAAAAAAUGAGUCUUUGUCCAACUCGGAUUUUAUAAUCCAAAAACCUCAAAAAAUAGGACGCGCUACUUAAUUUUUUCUGAUCAUAUAAUCCAAACAACCCUUAAACACCCUUUUUCAAGGAAAAGACAGUGCAAAUUAUAUAAUCUUAAUUGUAUCAGCACCAAUUCCGAACUUUUUUGUAGCAUGGAUAUUCAUUUUAUGGACAAUAUUAAACUUCCUAACUCUCAUUCUUCUGUUUUAGGUCAUUGUUAGCUGUUCGUAGUCAAAAAUCUGAUUUUCGGGCUACUUGAUCGGAUUGUUCUGAAACAUCCCCUGAAAAUCAGAACAAAAUCAAGUAUUAAGACUCCUGUAGAAGAGAUUUCUUACGUGACGCUGCCCCUCAAAAUCCAAAAUUCAAUCAUUUAGACCUAUUUUUUUAUUUUUUAGAAUUUUUCAUAUUCUAAUUAAAAUCUGGAAAAAAAAAAUUGUAUUAAUUUUAUUUAAUUUUUAGAAUUUUUGAUUCUGAUUUCUAAUUAUACAUAAAUAUAUUUUAGAUUAUAAAAUCCGAACGGAUUUUAAAACAAAAUAACUUUUGGCUUCCCUAUUUUUAAUUGGGGCCGGCUAAAUUAUGAAGCUUAUAUAAUUACGUACUCCUUUUUUCUUUCUUUCUAAUAUAGUCAUUUUUUUUUGCUUUUUAUCAAGUGGUCAUUAAUUACUCUGUGUUGCUCUACUGUCAAUUGUAUUAAUACGAGUACGUAGUAGUAGAUCCAAAUCUUCCGGUCACGAGAUACUGUGAUACACUACUGUUCAUGGUCCCACAUUGAGAAAAACUCCCAUUAUAAAAAAAACACGUUAUAAAACAAACACGUUGUGAAAACCGACUACUUUAUUGGAGUACAUUUUUUGGUCACUAUUAUAAAAAAAGUCAAUUUUUUUAAUUCAUUUACUAAUUGAUAUAUGUGAUUUAUAAUAAAGAUUUUAUACAACAUUAAUCGCAUGAAUUUAAAAUAUAGAUUUUUGUUUAUGAUGGUAAUCAGAUGAUAUAUUUACUAGUGCACAAUAAACACGUUUGGAAAGCCUUGUAAAAAGAAAAACGUUAGGAAAGCCAGUUAUUCUAUUCGUUUUGUUUGGGAAGUCCAAUUAUGAAUAGCGUGUACACCGUCGUCUAAAAGAAAAAAUUAAAAACAUCAAAAUGAAUGCAAUCGUUAAUUUUAUAACUUUUACAUGCUAAAGAGUAUUUUUAGGGUAUUGGUUAAGUGGAUAUAAAUAAAAAUAUUGUGUUGUAAAAUGGUGAAGAGUAAUGAAUUUAACAUUUUAAACGUUAAAAUGUUGUUGAAUCUAAUACAAAUAUACUAAUUUUGAUUUCUUUAACAAGUGUCUUAAAGGCAUUUGUUAGCAUAACCUUUUGUACAAAUAUAUCUAUAAAAAUCUGUGAAACAUUAAAUACACUCACUGAUAUUAAAAAGACAAUUGUUAAAUAAGGGAUAAAAAAAUGUUUAAAAUAACAACUUCAACUUAAAAGUUGUGAACUUUUUUUUUGAAAAUUUUCUUAUAUUAAUAACCAGAGGAGUAUGUAAUUAAACUAAAGAGGUUGAACCGUGAGAGACGUUUUAGAGUUAAGGGUUAUGAUCUUAUGACACAUGAAAUUUCUAUAAAUAAUAAAUUUUUAUUGAGAAUAAUUUGGUAAAAAAAUAUUUAUUGAGAAUAAGUUAUUUUAAAAUUUUAAAAAAUAAAUUGACACAAUUUCUGAUAUAUAGUUUCUAUAUUUGGUAUAUUAAAAUUUGCAUUUUUCUAGAGUUAAAACUACUAAAAGGUUUAACUGAUUGAUUGAAAAAAUAUCGAUAAUUUGUAUUGAUAAAACUAUUAUUAGUGGUGAAAAAUGCAAAUGAAUUGGAAAUUGAAUAAUGUUUUGAGUAAAAAAAUAGAAUAAAUGCUUAGUUCAGUAAAAUGUUAUUGAUAAUCAACAAUUUAUAAUUUACAUAAUGGAAUAUAAGUUUGAAUAAAAUUUGCAAAGAUUGGUUUUUUUUUUAUCUAAUAAUGAAAAGUUUGGAUCUGUAUAGUUAAAAACAGUGAAUAGUUAAUAAACUAACUUAUAAAUAAAACAUAUUAGUUUGAUGAUUGAUUUGCAGCAUUUGAAAAAAUUUGUAGUUAAACUAACUUAAAAAUAUGGAAUGACAUAAAAAUGAUAUCUUUAAUUAAUAUUUAAUUUUUUCAAUUAAGAGUGGAGGGGUAAAACUGAGAAAAAUAAUGAUAAUCUUUUUUUUUUUUAGAGCAAAAAUAAUGAUAAUCUUUAAACUUUAAACUACUUGAAUUUACUCAUAAAAAACAAUAUACACUAUUAAAAAUAAGUGAUAAGCUCGUAUGAAAGUGACACUUACGAAACAUGUCAUUUCUAAUCAUAUGAGCUUAUAAGACAUAUGUAUAUCAGCUAUAAGCUCGAAAAUUAGGCUUACCAAACCGACCAUAUAUCACUCUCUUAGAAUGACUUUUUUUUAUAGGGAUUUCUUAGGAGGACUUGAAAUUAUGUUACAAAAAUCUUUAAACAUAUCUAAAACAUGACAAUUCUUUAGGAAGUUUCAAUAAUUCAAUAAAGAUAAAACUGUGAAAUGUAUAUUUUCCUAAUGCAAUAUACAAAUUCAUUAUUAAUGAUCCUAGUUAAAUUGUUCAUUGUAGAGAUUUUUUUUAUUGAAAGUGUCUAAAUUAUGUUUGCAGACCUCUUAUCAGAUGAAUUAAGUAUUCUUGUUUUUUUAGGCUUAUUUGAUCCAUUAAUCUUCUAAAUAAUUUCAUAUUUUCAUUUUGGUCCCACAAUUAAUAAAACUUACAUUUUAGUCCCUCAUUUUUUUCUCCGUUUGCCAAAUAAAUCAUGAAUGUUAAAUUUAACUCCAAAUAACUAUGGUAAACCAACCUUUACAGUGGUCCACCAUAGACCUUAUUAAUUUUUUUAAUUUAAACCAUUUGAUCUGUUUUUAAAAAGGAUGAUCAUUUGAUUACACAAAUGUAUUUUAUCUUACAAUUAUUCAUGUCGGGUUUAAUCUUAAAAUGCCCAGUUUGUGAGAGGAUAUACAUAAAGUUGAAUCUUUGAUGCGUCUUCAUGCUUUGAGGUUAAAUUUUGAUUCCUUUUAUUCAAAUUUUAGUUUAGGCUUUUACUUGAUUUUGGAACGAAAGAAUACAUAAUUGGAAUUUGAAAGAGAGAGGUUAAUCAUGUGAUGUUUAUUUUGAUUUUUGUUUCCGGAAAUUUUUUUUGCUUGUUCAUGAGUGAUGAUGAAGGUAUUGUUGAAUUAUGAAGAAGGGGAAGGAAGAAGAUGAAGAAAAGGAAAUAAAAUUAGGUGUUGUUGAUUCACCGUAAGAUAAAGUAGACUUACAUAAUCCAAUGGUAAGUAUUCUCUUUAUAAAAAUCAAACGGUUUAAAUUAAAAAAUUAAUAAGGUCUACGGUGGACCACAUAGUUAUUUAGGGUUAAACUUAACAGUCAUGAUUUAUUUGACAAACGGAGGAAAAAAUGAGGGACUAAAACGCUUGUUUUAUUAAUUAUGAGACCAAAAUGAAAAAUCUAAAAUUAUUUAGGGGACCAAUAAAUCAAAUAAACUUUUUUUUUACAAGCAAAUAGUCUUGCUUUGAUUAUGUAGUAGUUAUUAAUGAUUUUGCAACAAAAAAUUCUAAGGAAACAAGUCUUGCUUACAAUAUACUAAUAACUUUGAAGUUCGUCUGACAUAACUUUUGGCUUCCAUAACUGUUCUAACACCUUAUUUUCCUUUUCCAUUUGCUUUGAACCCUCAAGAUUCACAAAAGGAUAUCAUAGCCAUAUUCAUAGUUGGCAAAUGAUAUGUGACAAUAGUCAUCUCAGGAAUCCCUUUAUUUGGCUAACUUGAAUCUGAAUUCUCCGAUAGCCUUUUGAAUGGCUUUCUUGAAGACUAUGUAGUUAAUUAGUCAUGAGCGAUUGUAUGAAUUUUUCCACUUACAAUAUUUCUUUUACUUUUCAAUGUUGUCCUUGUUAAUGACAAAAGGAACAAAUGCAACUUGUGGUACUCAAGUUAAGUGUGUGUUUGGUUUGGCGGCAGAGUUAAUUGAUUCUGGUAGAAUUGAGUUUGAUAGAAUUGAUUAUGGUUAAAAGUGAGUUUGAUGUGAAUUGAUUUAUGUUUCGAUACACUCACUUAAAAGUGAUUCUUAUGAGUUGAUGUUGUUUGGAUAAUUUUAAUCAAAAUUGAUUUUGAAUGUGCAAUGACCAAAUUAUCUUUUUAAUUGUUUUUGAAACUAAAUAUCAUAUUUUCUUUUCAGAUAAUUAUUUCUACUUUUCUAAAAUCAUAAGUACAUUUUUAUUGGUUCAUAAAUUCCUUUUAAAAUAAUUUUUUUAACGGAAGUUCCUGUUAAAAUAAUAUUCAUUAAUAAGAGUUAUUUGUAAUAUUUUGUUAUCAAACCAAUUGAAUUAUUAUUUGCUUCGACUCCUACAUAGUUCGAGCUUUUCUAGUUUUAGAAUUAAAAGCAAAAAAAAAAAAAAAAAAAAUGUAAAAGGAAAAUGACUCUACAUGAAUUACAAUGGGCCCAUUCAUCUCUCAUCUCUAACCUGAAGAUUAGAUAACAGUACCAGGCACCAAUAAAAAAAAACGCAGGACAAUAAAGGGUAAAACUGGAAAUAAUAAUGUUACUUCUACAUAAUUGAUUUUUGUGGACGGAAAUGCUACAUAUUGUAGCUUCACCUAAAAUCGAUUGUAAAAGGAACAAUCACAUUUUUAACAUGGGUACCAAACACCUUCCAAAUAUAGUAGAACUACGUUUAUCAGGUGUAAACGUACGUUCAUGGAUGCCAACCGCAGAAUCAAACAGGGACUAAGAUCUUCUCCGUUUAUAACUUUUUUCAUUUGUUUCAUUUGGAGAGAUAAAAACACAAAAAAAGUAAAAAAUAAUUAAUGAUAAUGGGAUCCACUUGGUAAUAAGACCCACCAUCUAUUUUUUGUGUCUAUCUCUUUGCAAAUGACAUCUUCCAUUUAUUUUUAUAAGUGAAAAGGAUCUUUACCCGUGGAACUCAUUUUGGUUCUCCUCUUCGUAUUGUGCCGUGAAUCUUUUGACAUUGUUGAUUUGUCAUCUUUCUCAUAAAAGAUGAGAAAAUUAGAAGUUUUGUCUCCUUUAGGGACGUACGGGACCAUUUUAUCACCCAUAAUAGACAAGGCUUUGUAUACACAUGGGCCUAUUGAUGAGUUAUAAAUUAUCCUAAAAUAUCUUGAGAAUAUUGCUCUUCUUCCAACAAUUUUUGCUCGUUUUCAACUGAACUUUUAAAAAUAUCCCUGCGUAAGUUAACUUACAUAGGUGUUAAACUCUGCGUGACUUAAGUCACGUUGAAAUAUCCCAAUAUUUUCAUCAAUCAUUUCUUUUCCAUAGCAUCAAUGAAUUAAACAAGGAAGAGAACAACAAGUUCUACAGUCCUAAAAUAAUUGAGAAAGAGGAAGAGAGCCAGGUGGUGGACAAAAUAUAAUAAUUCAAUUGUUGAUAUCAUGUUGAAUUCUGUUGCAUAUUAAUAAAAUAUCAAACAGUUGGAAUGUUGGCAUGUGAAGAAUCAUAAAAUAGUUAGAAUUUGAAAGAAAAGUUGUGGCGCAUAUGAGCAUAUAAGCAUAUUGCAUACGAAAGGAGUUGAGAUUAUAUUAGGGUUGUUGUUUUAAUUCAUCGAUGCUAUGAAGAAGAAAUGAUUGAUGAAAAUAGUGGUGUUUUUCAACGCGACUUAAGUCAUCCAUGGUAUAACACCUGCGUGAGUUAAGUCAUGCAGGUUUAACAUCUUUGUGAGUUAACUCACGCAGGGGCAUUUUCGGAAGUUCAGAUGGAAGCGAGCAAAUUUUUUUGGGAGAAGAGCAGUAUUCAUAUCUUGACUAUUAUUUUCCUCAUCCUACUUAUUUCUCGCGCGUUCUAUUCUUUUACGAAAAUGUCUAUGUGAUUUUCGAAAUUUAUAAUCCGAAUUGAGUUUCUUCUUUGUUAUGGGGUGAAAAAAAGAGUUUUUCACCUAUUUCGAUUUUAUAAUUCAAAAACCUCAAAAAAUAGGACGUGUUCCUUGACAGUGCAAUGGCCUCUGCCCAUUAGAUUUAUCAUGUGCAGUGGAAUGGCAGAGCCCGGUUGACCACCACUGCAAGUCUGAUCUUGUGGGUUGUUGCGUAAUGCUUGUUAAGUUGUUAAUUAAAAUUUGUAAACACACUGUUUUGCAGAAGAAAAAAAAAUUAAGCAUGAAAGGAUGAAGAACAGUGAUGGUUAUCGGAUCAGGCUUUGAAAUGUAUAUUUUCCUAUUUCCUAUAGUGAGAAAAACUCCCAUUAUUUAACUACUAGUGCACAAGAAACACGUUGGGGAAUACUCUAAUGUGCAGUUAAAACCCAAGAGGCUCAAACGAGAGAAGCUUGAGUUAAAACUACUAGUAGUAAAAUAUUUAAGGGUUAUACUAACAUGUAUCUUAAAAAUUCCAUAAAUAACAAUUAUUUAUUGAAAAAAUAAUUAAUUUUCAUAUUUUAACAAAAUAAGUUGGCACAAUUUUAAAGCUGAAGUUUCCUAUCGGAUUCUUUAACAUGUAUUCUCUCCGUUUUAAAUUAUAAUAAGAAAAAAAAAACUCUUUUUUUUUGUCCCAAAUUAUAAGCAAAUUGCAUUCAUUUUGCUACCAUUUUCAUUUUCUUUAUAAUUAAUAACCAAUGGAAAUUGUUUUUACAUCUUUUUAGGAAACUUAUUUCAAGAAUAACACAAAAAACUAUACUACAAAUUACUAUAUUUUAGAUUUCUUAAUAAGUGUAAAAUAAAUCUUUUUUCUUAUAAUUUGAAACUGAGAGAGUACCCUUAGCAUUCCCAAUGUUCAAUUAAUUGAAAAAAAAACGGAAAUGAUAACUUGUAACAUUAAGAUACACAAUAAGAAAUCUAAUAUAGAAAUAAAAUCUUGAAAAUUGUGUUUCUUUAUUUUAAAAGUUUAAAUUUUAAUCUUAGAUUUAUAAAACUAUUAUAAUUACAACUAUUAGUGGUAAAAAAAAAUGUAAAUGAAUUGAAAAUUGAAUACUUCUUAUGGUCUCAAUUAUAAACCACAUACAUUAUUUAUUAAAUAAAUCUAAAAUAUGAAAAGUUGUUUAUAAUUGAGACGGAAUGGAGGACACGUUUUGAGUGAAAAAAAAUACUCCAUCCUAUCAUAAAACAAGAUCUGAAUCUUGGAUAAAUUGAACCUAAGGUUCACCAAAAAGAUUUGUAAGUAAACUCCACAAUGAAAAGGUAAGGCUCUGCAAAAAUAAAAGUGCACCAAAAUUCAGGCAAGUCUUUAGAUUCUUAUAAUACAAUAUUGAUAAGGAAAAUGCUGAAAAGCACGAUAAGGAUUGUCGUCACAUUUGCACGAACGGUUUUAUAAAUGUCAUUUGGUUAUUUUUCCUAAUUUUUAUUUUGCACAAAAUGACAAAUCUUGCCUCUGCUGGAUCUUUCUCAUGAGAAAUCACAAAAAAACACCUCAUUCAAUGAUGGUUCUCCAAAUCAACUUUUGCAUGUGUCUUACCACCCUUGUUGAACGUGGAUCAUGUAUGCUAUUAUUGCUUUGGUAGCAUUGUUUUUUUUUUCACUAUAUAUAUAUAUAUAUAUAUAUAUAUAUAUAUAUAUAUAUAUAUAUAUAUAUAUAUACUAUAUACAUGCAAAAGCAUCCAUAAACUAAAAAACAAAUCCAUUAAUAAAGUAAAUAGGGUGCUAUUGAACAUGUCGUGCGGCUUUUCAUGUGUUGAGUCCUCGUGCGAUAUAGCAGCUCUCUAUUGAUAAUCUAUAACUUCAUUGACUCAUAUCAGAGUUUGUGCUUGUGCUCUCAAUUAUCCCUUUUGAUUAACUAUCUUAUGAAUAAAUAGAACUUCCAACAAUUACAUCUACUAAUUCACUUGCCUCAAUGCUUACAAAUAACUUGAGAAAAACUCACAUCACCGGUUUACAUAUAUUAUUGAACAAUCUAAGGACAUAUAGUACCAUACCCCCAACUUAAAAUUUAGAUGUAAUUGUAUAAAAUCAAUCAAAUUCUGUCAGAACAGUUCAAAACAUUUAAAUAUGUCUUUCGGUUCGAUAUUUCUAAUGUUAUGUUAAUUCUCAAAAUAUUUCAACAUUGACUAUAAACCAAAAAAUAUCAAUCACAAUCGAGUUUGACGACAUUUAUUUGGAUAUAUGUUGAUCUGGACUUAAAUUCAAAACUAUAGGUUCUAUAUUCAAUAUCUAAAAUUAAGAAAUUUGAAAUCUUACAAAUUUCAACAAAAUAAACAAACUGCAGGCAAAUCUGCAGGAAAAGACAUAUGAAAAAUCGCAGGAAAAUCCGCAGCAAUAUAUGUGAAAUUUCCUAAUGAAACAGAAAUAAUAUUUGAUAAUAAUUCCGCAGGUAAAUCCUCAGCAAAAUAAUAGGUACCUGCGGAUGUUCCUGCGGCAUCUAAGAGGUCAUCAUAUAUUGGCAGCAGUUGGUAGAAACCACAUAUUCCAUGGGAUAGCGUGAAACCUUGUUGCUUUUGAACUCGGGGUGGGGUAUUCCCCAUGGCUGCUCCUGGACCAAUUCCACGUGAUUUCUAAUGGGAGUUCUUGCACUACAACAUGAUUAAGAUUUAGUAACAAUUGAAAUUUGUAACUAAAUUAAGAAAAAUGUUACUAAUUAAAUUUAGUAACAUUUGAGCAAUUGUUAGGUAAAGCCCGUGUUAUUAAAAAGCUUCAGUAACAUUUUAUAUCAUAAUUGUAACAGUAAAAAAAUGUUGCAUAUUUAUAUUUUGUAACAUUUUUUGUAUGACCAGUAACACUAAAAAAAUGUCACAUUUAUAUUUUUUGAAAAGUUGUAAAAAAGUGUCGCAAAGUCGUCUAGACUAAAAUUGAGAAUCUAUCGAAUUUGCCUUUGCUUUCACUUCAUUCAUAUUUAAAUUAGCCAACAAUAUUUAAAGAUAAACUUAAUUCAAAUUUACAACUCCAAAUAUUUCCCCAUACAAACAUUUGAAAUUUGAUUUCAUAAUGGAAAUGAAGUAUGCAACACAAUUUCAAUUACAUACUAUAACUAUUAGAAGUUUUCGUCAAAUAAAGCAUGUAAAGGUAAGAAGAACAAUGUGCAAUAAGCCUUCUUUAUGAGGUAUCAAAACUAUAUAUGUAGGUUUUGUUCUAAUUUCCACUAUGAAACGUGCAUUCAAUCAGACUAGCUUCACAAACUGCUCAUCAACAAACCAUAGGCCUUUGGAAUAAUUUACACCGAGGAAAAUAAAUAUUGUGCGAGGAAGGUAUGGUCUUUGGGAAGGUAGAUGAAAAAAUAACUCAAUUGUAGAUCAUGUAUUUGGGAGUUGCACUGAACUUUUGUUACCCUUUGAUGACUUUAUUCACUUCAAGUAUUUCAUUGUUACAAUCUCCCUUGGGGCACUAAUAGUGUACAAACCAGCUUCAGUGCACACACUCCUUAUAUCAGCUCCUAGAAAGAACAAAAUCUAUGUUGCUUAGAAAAGAAAGUAAGUUGCAAAAAUUCCUAAAACCAAAAAAAGUUUUGAUUAGAAAGGAUAUAACUUGAAUACUUAUGUACUUGCAAAAGAUUGAUGGUCAGAAGGUAAAAGCUAAUUUAAAAAUUGCCCAGUUGUUAAGAAGUUCUUACUAGGAGUUAGGGUGAAGCCGAGCUGGAAGCUCAAAAUGGAUAUCCCUUUUAUAAUUCAUUUUUCUUUUGUGUAUCUUGAAUAUUUGUGUCCUGCUCUCUAAGUUAGGAAGCCAAAUUCAAAUUUACGAUCCAAUCGCCCACACCUUAAUAACGCUGGAUCAAAAGUGUGUGGCCUAAAAAUAGUGGACAAAAAGCCAUUAGAUAUAUGAAGAAAAGGACUUGUGAAGCAACCAAUUGGUACUAUUUGAGCUUUAUAUUGAUAAAGUGGAUUUGGAAAUCCAUGUCUUCUCACCAACAUAACCAUUAACUGGUCCUGGUAGAUUUGAACCCACAAGAGUUAGGAUUGGUACAUUAGGUCUUGUUCGAUAUGUUGUUGGAUUAGACAAUAUAGGUGGAUAAUCCAUUCUUGUUGAGUCGAAUAACCUACAAUAGAUCUUUGCAUUCCUCCUAUUGGGCAAAAGAUCGGUUCUCCAGCAUAAGCCAUGUUGUUCUCUUGCACAAAUUGUCAUAAGAUGACACUUGCAACAUUCCAAUUUGUCUUACUACCUUAGGUAAAUAGAACAUUAGACUAAUUAAUUUCACCCUAGUGACUUUGCUCCAUGAUUCUUAGGGGAACGCCUGCCAUCUCUUGCCAAUUUUAAGUUUAUUGGCUCGAAAUAAAAAACAAUGACUAGCAAGACAAAUUACUCAUUAAAACUCAUAAUUAAAAAACAGUGACAAUCUUCAAACUGGAUAGUAAAAGAAAACAAGAAAAACAGUUUGAGUGCAUCCACAUACCACAAUGAACUUUCAAAAUGGAAUAGCAACAUUGAUAUGAGAAAUUUGGAUGUUCAACCCAGCUGAGAUUAUAGGUAAUGGAGCAGGAUUCCUUUGUUGAUUUUUGAAUGACCCCACGUACUUGACUUACUCCUCAGACAAGCCGAAAGUUGUUGGGAGACAUGCACCGUUGUCGUGAGCUUGUUCACAGAAAUCAUGGAUUGUACCAUUUGAUCACAGCAAUGCCACAUCCCUUGCUUCUAACAUCUUGUCUAUGGUUUCUUCUUUGGGGGUAGCUUCUUCGUUGCUUUGUGGACAGUAUUCAUUUAGAGACAUAUUAUCAAUCAGUUCUAUGACUUCCCAAUUAGUUUUGAUCUUCAUGAUACCUCCAGUUGAUGCAUCAUACAAGUUUAGGGUUUCAGCCAUGUAGUGAAAGUCUGCAUGGUAUCUCUAUCUCCGUACACAUGUGACAUGGACACCUUUUCAGAAGAACUUUGAAUCUUUCUCAAGCGCUAUAGAAUGUUUCCCUAUCUUGCAUUUUUAAGCUAGCAAUUUCCUUCUUCCUUGCCAAGUACUUCAUGUUUGGGAAGAAGCGAUCUGAGAAUUCCCUCUUGAAUUGAUCUCAAGUAGAGAUCGUGUCAGUUGGAAGUGAUAUAAGCUAGUCCUUCACUCGUUUAUUUAGACAUUGUACAAACAAACAAAUCAUUUGUUGGAUUUGGAUACACCAUGUGGGUUGAUUGUGUCGCAGGCCUUCACAAAGUGUAAGAGAUGUGCGUUAAAAUCUUCAGACUCCUUUCCUGAAAAUUAGUUGUCCUACAUAGAAUUGAGGACAUGGUUCUUAAUAUCAAACACCACGGGGUUUGCAGGUUGGAACCUGAGAGACAUUUAAUCAUAGUUGGUCUUUUAUAAUCUCCUAGAAUAUUACGAGGAGUUUCGUCUGUCAUUUCUGAAUCGUCAGAUGAGACGUCUUGAAUGGAGAUAGUAGCUUCUUUGUUCGCCUCUUGUUUACCUAACCAAUUGUAUUUUACGAAUGGCCUUUUCGAUUCUUUCAAUGUUUGGAUAAAAAAGAAGGUACAUGAAUCUACACCACGUGGGAGGAAUUUGAACAAAACAAUACUAGAAUAUUUUUAGUAUUUUUAGAAUAAUAAAUAAAUAAAAACAAAUAAAGAAAGUUACUAUUAAAAAAUAAAAACAAAUCUGAAACUGUUUAACACUUUUUCUACCGUUUUGUUAAUGCAUUUCCCUUACUCGCUUCGAUCACUACUAUAAUAAAAAAAAACAGUUUAUACUAUUAUAGACUAAAUAUAUCAGUUAUUCGAUUAAUAAAAAAAUGAUUUUUUUUUUUUUUUUGUUUAUAAUAGUGAUUGUAAUAAGUAUAAAAUAUCAAUUACCGAAAUGUAUUGUUUGAGAUUGUUUGUGUUAGUCAUAUAACUCAAUCCCCAAAACAAAGUGACUCGCAUUUUGUCAGCGCUAAUACAAUAAAAUAAGGGGAAAUUAUAUUGACCUCCCCUAAGGUCUCAUUAAAUGAUACAAACACCCCUCUUAGUUAAAAAUAUACAUUAACCUCUCAUAAGUUUUCGUUAAAUAUGAUGGUGAGAAAAACACAAGAAUGGGGGUUGAAUUGUGUUGGUUUUUUCUUCUUUUUCUCCUAACUGAAAAUACAGAUCAGAAGCAGAUAGAGUUCUACUUCUAAAGAGAAGUUCAGACUAAUUGCAGCGGAUAAAACAGAGAUAGAGAGAGAAGAAAGACACAAGCAAUUUAUACAGGUUCCUUCCACAUACCGAAAGUCAGUCAUGUCCCCCUUGCACUUCCAAGGAGAGUUCACUAUGUAAUAUCUGAUUACAAUUGCUCACUACUAAACUUAGUAAGAGACUUCCUAUGCUCCUGAACACAAUCAAGAGACUUCUAUUGCUCAAGCACAACUGCAAGAGACUUCUUGAUUCAAACAGAAUUACAAGAAAAAUGUUUGAGGUUGAACACUUGAUAUACAAUCAAUGGUGUUCACAAUAUAAAUCAGAUACAGACUCUAAAGACUCUAGAAUUCCUAAGAUAUGAGCUUUGAUAAGAAAUUCUAAGUGAACUUUGAAGUGGAGAACAAUUUCAGCAGAGUUUUGGCUUAGUUAAUUCUUGGUAUUGUUCUUAUAAAACUCUGAGUCUUCACUCCUUUAUAUAGAGGUGUGAAAGAGACGUUGAAUUGCCCGCACAUUCAAAAUAGAGUCGUUUGAAGCUUUUGAUCAAUCACCAAUGAUCCUUUUCCUGAUAUGGUUAUUGUCCUAUGAAGGAUCAAUUUCAAAUGUAUUCCCUUUGAGAAGAAACAUUGUUGCAGGCAAAGUUGUUUUUCUUGUCUUGUAGCAGAGACAAAAACAGAGUAGUGGAGAUAGUGGUUGUACACUUCGUAGAAACGUACUAUGUCAACGCUCUUUGAAGAAUUAGCAUCCAAUGCCUUCCAAAAUAGCCGUUGUAAUACUUUUCCAGUCUUCUGCAAUCUUAGACGAGUUUGAAUCCUUUAAACAGCUUUUGAAGCUUUAAGUUGCAUCUCCUGAUGAACUGCAGCUUCUGGUGAUUCACAACUUCUGAUGAACUUGCUUUUGAUGACGUCAUCACUUCAGGAGCACUUUGUCUUCAGGAGCACUUUAACUUCAGGAGCAGUUUUCUUCAAACGCUUUAAGCUUCCCUUUUUGUUGAUGUAUUUGCUCUUUAUUUGUUCUUCCAAGACCUUUUUAAGAUGUCAAAUUUUUGUCUAUAGUCCUGUACACUUGAACAAAUAUUAGCAUAUCCAAUUGACAAUUUUUAAUACUUUGUUAUCAUCAAAACUCUUAAGGGUUAUUUUUGCUAAACACAUUUUGUUCCAACAAAAUAGACAAACACCUUCCUUCUUCAUUAACAAUGUUUGCUUUCUCUGUUAAAUCACAAAAAUGCCUUAAAUUACUGCACUCACAAUUUAGGGAUUCUUUCGCUUGCUAUCAUCAAGCCACCAAAUAAUAAGAUUCUCCUAUUUUGCAAGCCAUUGCAGCAGCAAAAGAAAGAAUAGAGGAUUCUUAUCAUUUUUUCAACCUUCAACCUUAUCAUUUUUUUGGUCAUGCCAUAUAAUUUGCAUAUUUGUAUUGCUAGCUUGGUAUAAGCUUCGAUUUUCAUAAUUGAUUUUCUUAAAUUAUUUUCAUAUAUCAUAUAAUAAGCCCAUCACAAUAAAAGGUACAACCAUAGUAGUGUUUAUUAAUGAAAAUGAUAACAAUCAAACAAACAUUCCAUAAAAACAUGACCAUACAAAGGGAAAUAUGAGGGAAAUGGAUUCCUUCUCAUCUUUUAUUCAAAGCAAGAAACAACAAAACAACCAUGACAUUUUCUAGAUGGAGACACUGUUGGGAAUGCCUCUGAAAGUCAAUCCUGGCUCACUUGAAGGAUAGAGCACAGUGUAUGGCAUCUUCACAGGCCCAUUCCUGUUUCUCAAUGAUUCAUCGUUGUUCCUUUCAAUGAGCUUUUGCUCAAUUUCAGCCAACUUCUUUCCAAACUUCUUGAAGGCCUCUACUGGCUCUGAAUCGUAAGUCCAAAGAUCACCUUCGAUUCUGUGUCCAAUGUAUUGCUCAUCAGAAACAUGUGAUGACAAUUGCUCCAUAACAGACAUGUUCACACGGGUUUCCAUCAAUGGUGUGAUUGUUCUCAAAUACGCCUUCUCGAAGUCCUGAGCAAGCUCGUCAUACUCAGGGGUUCCUUUCUCAGGCAUGAAUCUUCUACUUUUAGUUGGUCGGUUAACAAUGUAUCCACCGUAAGGAUAUUGUCCAAAAUUAACAGCUGCAUGAAGUGCUGAAGCCAUCCAAAUGAGGGUGGUGCAAGUUUCAAUCAACUCUGCACGAGUUUUCAUCUUAAACCACCAUGUUGCAUCCUUCAAGUCACCAUGGCCCACUUCUACAAGUUCUUUCCAGAAUGCUUGGAGCUCGGAAUCAUCUGCAACAGCUGCAUCUAGCUUGUAAUAGAAAUUUACAUAUUCUUCAACCCAUGACUUAAUAGCAGCCCAUAUCUCUAAUCCAUCAGUAGCAUAAGGAUAAUCCUCUAUCAAAAGGCGAACACCAUGUGGAAAUUUUGGAUCCUUAACAGCCACUCCUCUAGAUAACAAGCAAGGAAGAUGAUAUUAACAUACAAAAAUUUAAGUGAUAUUAAUAACUAUUUUCAACUUAUUAAUUUCGUAGUUGCUUUGUUCAUUCUCUAUUUCUCUAAGGAUACAAAACAAAACUCAUCUAAACUGACAUCUCAUGCGUGUAAAAGAUUAUUUUUGAGAUCAAUGUCUUUCUAAAAAUGGACAAGACGAAGAUUUAAUAUUUUGUAAGCUUACCUUUUGAUUAGAUCAUUAGGUAGUGCUUGAUCCGGGAAAACCCAAUCCUUGUAAACAUCAGAAGACAAUUCCAUUGAAUAACUUCCAAACAAGUAUGUUGACUCUAUAAUACCCCCUGCUUUGAUCAAGACAUCUCGCGCAUUGGCAUUUAUGUUCAUUGUGUUACGAUAGUGUGGAAGUAAUAGUUUAUGAAUAGGGUGAACCACACUAAGAUGCCUAUUUGUUGCUAUGAUGAAUGGCUCAACAGAAGCAUGAGUGUGCAACCUGUCACACAUGUAGAUAUAUAUUCAUAAAAUUACUCAGAUAUAUCAAAUAUUAGUGUUUGAUUGUAUAAAAAUGAUUAAUGAAAUUCAUACCAAUGGCUGAUAAGUUGAUGAUAGCAGGCGUCAUUUACAACAGCGUAAGCCUUGGCAAGGCGCCAAAUUGAAGCAUCAACACCUUCAGUUGCAGGCGUGUAACUAGUAGUAACAAUACCAUCACCAUCAGGAUGUGGCACAUGUAGUUCAAUGGAUAUUGGCUUCAAAGUUCCAUCAUCUUGCAAAGAGAGAAGGGUCGUUGAGGCAUAGGCCUUUGCGCCAGUUGCAUUUAUUUUCCUCAAAUAUGGUAAGAUUGCAUCUUGGUAAUCAACUACGUAUAAUCUAAGGGCCUUGAUAGUCUGUUAGACACAAAAAAAUUUAGCCAUUGUGGUUCCUUUGAAGAAGAAAAAAUGAAUUCAACAGAAAAAAUGAAUAAUACCUGUUCUACAUUGACCCCAUCCUGCAUGUAUGGCUCCAAGUGUUUUUUGUUUAUUGUGGUUGUAUCCUACAUUUCACAUAGCAAGCAAUGAGAGGUUAGUUAUCAAUUUUAAAUGUAGCAUCAAAAUUGAGCAUGAUUGUCUUUUUUAUUUAUUUCUUUUAUACUUGCUUAAAAAUAUUUAACUAUUAAGUUUAAUUACCUCAACUUUUUUUAUCACGUUUGGAUUCACACCAGCAAUUAUCUCUCUUGCGAAUUCCUCAUCAGUCAUCCAUGCAGUGCGAUCCUCUACUCAUAGUAAGAAAUUUUCAAAAGAUCCAUGAGCUUUUUUUAUAUGAUUGUGUAUAUAAUUAAAUAUAUUGUUAGGACUAGGAAUUUCUGACUAAGAUAUAUACCUCGAAUCACUAGUGGUGUUGGAAAGUCUGGAUGUUCGCCAGCGAAAAGCGAGAGCACUUCAUCAAAGGAGUUAAACUCUGGUUGAUCGUUUUGUAAUCUAACUAGCGAUCUUAAUUGAGGUGUCUCAUGUUGAGAUAUUAAUUUGAGGGUGUUAACAACAAAGUCUGACGAUUUCUGAGGGAUGAUUAAUUCAUCUCUUGGAAUGUAAAAAUAUCCACUCCGACUCUCGGUCUCUGGAUCUGUUCAUUAUAGUAACAAAAUAUGUUUUGUCGAAAUAAGUAAAAAUAUAUAUCACAACAAAAUAUUGUAAACAUACACAAGUGUUUGGAGUCUCACAUUUCUCAAGACGUUUUCUGCCAGUUCUUCCCCUUCGAGGGUAAGGCAAGGCGGCUGAUCCCCCAAGAACUGGACGAUACAAGCAAGGACUUUCGUCUGGUUGACCCAAAUCAUUGUAGACAUCAUAAUCAUAUAUUCUGUCCCAUACCUUACGCUCUCCAGUUCCAUCUCCUCUUAAAGUCUUCAAUUCUUCUUUGAUGUAGUACACUAAUGGUUGUGGUGCUUGACUUGGAAGGUAUGCCUACAUAAUUUUAACCAUUGGUGCUGUCAAGUUUUUGAAAAAGAGAAAUAUACAUUUAAAAAAUUACAUGGAAAUAAUAAAAUGGUUUGAGCUCAGGUACGUGGUUCAACUUCCUAAACAAACAUUUUUAAUAACUAAUUGUUAACAUUUGUCGCUCAAUAAAAAUAUAGAAUUGAUAUCAUUACCUUGUUGGCAAAGAAAAUGCGUUCAGUUUGGUACUUUUCAGCAUUGUAAAUCCAUGAGUUGCAAAUAAAGUUUGUGGUUUCAUGGCUUUCAACAUCUUCAAGGGUCAAACUCACAAGGAAGAUUUCAUCUUGCGUAAAAUUCUUAACAUAGAAAGCUCCUGGAAUUCCCAUGUGAUUGGGAUCCCAUUCAAAAUGAAUACUGAAAGCAUUUUGUAUGUCUCCCAAAUUUGGUAUGGAAGUAACAAAACCAUCCAUAAACGUUUCCUUUCCCACUUUUCCUUUUCCAGUAGCUAUGUUAAAAAUGUCAAAUAUUAGUUUCUCAGUUUCACAAAUGAUGAUGAUUCUCAACUAAUUAGUUUUCAAAUAUUAAUUUUUUUUACAACUAAUUUUUUUUUUCGCCCUAUACAAAAUUUGUCAUCCAUGUGCACGUUAUUGUAUAUAGUUAGAUAAAGAAAUUAUUACCAUCAGCUUUGGAAGCACUAAUCAACUUGAAACCCACAGAAGUGUCCAACAAGGUAGGACGAACGGUAUCACCUUCAUUCUCAACAACAGUAUUACCACCAAUAACUUUGUAGUUCAAUGCAUUCUUUUUCAUCAAAACCACAGUUCCCUUCAGCUUUGUGACCAUGUUCAAUGAAGUCAUCUUUGAUGCUUAAAUGUAUUACACUAUCUUUGGCUAAUGAAAGAAAUGUUUGUGUCUUGUAACCUUGUGGGAUGCUUAGUAUUUAUAGUACUUGAUGGGAUCACAAGGUUAGUUCAAAAAAGAUAAACCAUUCUUUUAUUCAUUAAUUAACUGCUACUUGUGACACAAUUGGAGCGCAUCUUAGGCUAAUUUUGUAUUUUUGUUGAUUAUUUCGUUGUAUAUUAUAAAAUAUAUCAGUUAAAUAAUCAUUUGGGGUUUUGUUUUUUACUAAAAUAUGAUAAUCAUGCAAUAGAGUAUAAUAGAAAUAUACAUAAAUUUAACAUCACCAAAAACUAAUUAAUUAAUAGCAUAAAACGAUCAAUUUGCAAACAAACGCAUAUCAUUCAAAUUAAUUAAUAGCAUAAAAUGUUAAAAUACAUACAAAUGAUAUGACAAAAUUUAAGUGAUCAGAGUAUUCAUGUCUUCAUAUCAACAACUUUGACGAUCAUCUCAUUGAUUAAAUUUAUAAUGAUCGAAGUUGAAAUGUGUCAAUCCAAACAAUACCACAACAAUCAAUCUAAAAAAAAAAAUAUUGAACGUCAGACUAAAAUGACGAAAUUACAAAAGAAAAUAUAAUCUACGUAAAAAUUAUUGAUUUUUUAUUAAAAGAGAGAACAAAUCAACACUAUAUGUCUAAAAUCAAUCAUCUUCCAUCAAUGAAGAAGAAGAAAGAUAAAACUUAGAGAUAUGGCUUCUCUUUUUUUAAUUGGGGCCGGCAAAAUUAUGGAAACAUAAAUAACAAGUACGUAAUAUUUGUUGUCUUGUGUGUGAGAGAUUCCAAAAAAAAAAUUAUAUACGCGGGGUUUUUAUUGACCAUAUUGGUGCUAUGGUCAUUAAUUACUCUUUUUUUAAUCCAAUAUGGUCAUUAAUAACUCUCCUUUGCUCUAUUGUUAAUUGUAUCAAUACGUGUACGUAGUAGUACAUCCAAAUCUUCCAAUCACGGUUCCUAUAUUGAGAAAAACACCCAUUAUUUUACUACUAAUACACAAGAAACACGUUGGGAAAUACUUACCCAAGAGGCUCAAACGAGAGAAGCUUUAGAGUUAAAACUACUAGUAGUAAAAGAUUUAAGGGUUAAUACUAUCGAAGAUUCAUUAGCUAAAAUUUAAAAAAAUUUAACAUUAAAUAUGAAUUUUUUAAAACGGCAAAAGUUAAAGAUAAAAUUAACAAAAUUUGGAUGUAGGAAUCAAAUUUUGCGACAAUUUUUUGAAGAGGAACUUUUAGUGAUGUUCUUAACACGUCUGCAAAAAAUUGUUCAAAAACUCAAGAGUUUAAGCAUAAAUUAAACAAAUUUGAAUUGAGGAGAGACUAAUACUGAGUGUAGAAUUUUUUUUUUAGGGAUUAAAAAAACUAUUAAAAUUAAGUAAGAAAUAAACUUAAAAGGUCCUAACUUUAUAAGGACCAUAAAUAUAUUUAACCUAUAUGUUUUUAGGGCAUAUCUUAAAAAUUCCAUAAAUAGAAGUUAUUUAUUGAGAAAAAAUUAAUUUUCAACUUUUAACAAAAUAAGUUGACAUAUAUAAUUUCCAAAGCUGAGUUUUCCUAUCGGAAUCAUUUAACAUGUACUCUCUCCGUCCUAAAUUAUAAGAUUAAAAAAAAAAAAAAAAAAAAACAACUCAAUUUUUUUUCCCAAUUAUAAACAAAUUGCACUCAUUUUGCUCUUCCUUUCCUUUAAGGAUAACACAAGAACUAUACUACGAACUACUAUUUCCUCCGUUUCAAAAGACACGUCGCAAUCAAAUACUCUACACAUGUCAAUGUACAACUUUGACGGUUGAUAUCUCUAAUUAUCUAAAGUAAAAAUUUAUAACAAUUUAAUAUUUUGAAAACAUUUAUCGAGACAAAUCGAACAACAUUUUACAUACCAAUCUUUGCAUUUAUAUAUUAUUUAAAAAGUAUGGUCAAAGUAAGUCAUGUGAAUAGUGCACAUUGCAAAAAUGUGACAUUUAUUUUAAAACGGAUGGAGUAUGUUUUAGUUUUUUCAAUAUGUGUGAAAUGGAGUUAUGACAUUUAUUUUAAAAUGGAUUAACAACAAAUCAACCAUAUCAUAAGUGUUACUAAGAAUCCCAUCUCUCAUGGCGGAAGCAAACACAUUGGGACUAGAUUCUAUUUCAUUAGGGAGCAGGUGACUAAUGGAGUGAUUGAGUUGCAUUACUGUCCUACAGAAUUGCAGCUUGCAGAUGGUUUUACAAAGGCUUUGAAGCUUGAUAGAUUUAAACUUUUGAGGAAGAAACUUGUUGUUGUUAACAUUCAGCAGUUAUUAAUUAAGGGGGGAGUAUUAGAAUGUUAAUACAUAACUUAACUGUUUAGAUAUAAUAUAUUCGUUGGGGAAUAUAUUAUACCCUUGGGGGUAUAAAAGUUUGUCACAAGUUAGUUAGGUAAUCAAGCUAAGUUUGAUAGUUAGAUAGCUUGUUCUAUAAGCAAGUGUUAUUGUGCCUAUAAAGGCUUUGUAUUGUGAAACUUCAAGUCUUAAUGAGAUUACACAGUUCAUAUCAAUCUCUCUAUUCUUCUCUCUUUCAUUUUUCAGUUCUAUUUUUUUUAUUUCUCAUCUUGCUAAAAACUGCUUAUUUCAAUAAGCACUUCUGCGCAUAUGAACACACGCAUAUGAACACAGUUUCUGUUCAAACAGUAACAACAAUGCCAACCCCUUUCACAUUCUAGAAGAGAAUUAACAUCUAGGAAAAGUAACUACAUCCCUAUAGAGUUCAAGUUUAGAAGGAGAUAUAUAGUUGCUUUGCAAACAUUUUUCAUAAUCUCCUUUGUCUAAUUCUUCGUGGUUGUCAACCUCUAAAUUCACCACGAAAAGGGUUUUUGGCGUCGAACCUCAUUGAUAGCCUGAAUUACAAUUUACAAGAACUUGAUCCAAGUUAAAAAUUUUGUUUUUCUUGCCCUGUUUUGAAGUUUCGGCAUGACUUGAAACUCUAGCAGUUUGUUUGUUUUGCUUUCUGUUCUGGUUUUUUUUUUUUUUUUGCACUUUAGGAAUAUCGUUCUUAGUGUAUGCAAUAUGGAUGACCUACAAUAUGACAAUUUUAACAAAUUUAGGAAGUCUUUCAUAUACAACCCCCAACAUGAAAUGCAAACACCCUCUAUACGAGAACAUACUCGUGAAUCGGUUUUGAUAAAUCAACAUCAACAAAUAGUCUAGCAAAAUGUCCAAUUACUCUAUUUCUAGUAGGUUAAUCCAAUGUAAUAUACAUUCUAAUAACACAAGCAAUCUCAAAUAAAGUUUUAGGACGUCAAUAUUCCUAAGGGAUAUCACUUAAACAAAUCUAAACAUGAUCAUUAGAAUGUUUUUUAUAAUCUGGAUAGAAAUCACGAACCCAUUGAGAUAUACAAAGAAUCGCGAAUUUGAGUUUCCAUGAGCCUGCCAACCAAACGGAAUGCAUAUAGGAGUUGAGGGCGACCUCUAGGGUGCGCAAUCGAAAUAUAUUGUGUAUCGUGCAUGAGUGAGUGCACUCUAGACCGGAUAUAUCAAAUUCUCUCUUCCCCGUGAUUGAACACCCCCUUCUUCCUCUCUAUUUCAUUGUUCAAUUUCUUUUAAAUCAAUAUUUGAUCUGUGUUGAUGGUUGGAUUUGCAGGUGUCAUAAUGCUUUGCUUUCACUCUUAAGUCCUUAUUUUCUUAGGAGAUUUUAUCCCAAGAAUGACAGCAAGGAAUUAUGUUAAUAGAAAAUGAUUAAAUAUAUGGAUUUUCAAUUUGAUAAGAGUUAGUGUAUUUUUUGGCUCUGCUACAUAUAAGAGUUUGGUGUUCAAAUUGAUCUUGAACUUUCAUUGUUAAGGAAAAUAGAUCAAGGGUUGCUAACUAACUGAUACUUUGAAAGAAAGAAAAAAUCACUAAUGAGCACGCUAGCCUCCGCCGGAGUUUGAGAGAGCAAACUCGAAGAAACCUUUGCUAAGUGACAUUAGUCUCCAAUUUUUAUUGAAUUUCCAAAGAGAGCUUAAUGUGUGUUUGGAUGAGGAAAUAUUUUGAUUUGAAGGGAUUCAAAUACUUUGAAGUGAAUUCCAUUGUUUUGAUAAUAAUUUGAAGAAUUUUCAAAAUGAUGGAAAUUUAUGAAGUAUUUUGUUCAACUUAAAUUUAGAAAAUUUCAAAUGACACUUAAAGUUAAGAAUUUCAAAAUUCUUCAUUGUUAUAAUUUUUCAAAUUUUGCAUUUUGGUCCUCAAAUUUUCCAAAAUUUCCAAUUUGACACCAAUAAAUUUCCAAAAAAAAUGUAAAUUGACCCCUCAAUUUUUUCGAAAUUUACAAAUUGACCCCUUAUUUCAAUUUUCAAAAGUUGCCCAAAAAUGAUGACAAUGAAAUUUUUUAUUACUCCAUCCAAAUCUUUAUACUAACAAUUUAGAGUUUUUAGAAAUAGCCUAUUUCAAAAUCCUCUCCUCUAAAGAUGUCCACAUCAUCAUAAUCCUAAUUGGCAUUUGUUCCAAAAAUUUCUUCUAAUUUUUAAUACAAGCUUAAUAAUUAUAAAUAAAUAUUAUUAAAAACCGUUUUUUAUUAAUCAUUAAAUGGUACAUAAAAUACACAGUUGGUUACAAUAAAAUCAUUAUUAAUAUAAUAAUUGUUUCGAUUAAAAUUUAUAUGUUACAUUAAAAAUUUGUACGUUACAAUCAAAUGAUUAUUAAUAUAAUUAUUAUUCAAUUAACAUUUAUAUGGUACAUUAAAAAUUUGGUAGGUUACAAAAUUAUAAUAAUUAACUUGAAUAAAUUAUAUUUUGAAUUUUGGUCCGUUACACUAUAACAGUAACCUACUAAUUAAAAAUUUAAUUGUAGUAAUUAGUUUUUAAGGUUAUAUAAUUAAUUUUUAUUCGUUACAAAAUUAUAUUACUUAAUAUUAAUAAGAUAUUAUUGAAUUUUAAAUGUUAUGAAGUUAAUUUUUUGUAGGUUAGAUGAAAUAUAAUCUAAUCAUUAAUGCACAUUUUAUAAUAUUAAUUACGUUGAUAAUAUUAAUUUUAAAACGGUCAAAUUAAUAAUUAGUAGAUAUUAACCGUUAUGGUACUAUUUUUUUAUAUAAAUAGUAGCGCUUUUAGGUACGAGUACACAACAAUCACAAAAUAUAGUUCUUCUUUUUCUAUUCUAUGGUUCUCUGAUAUCUAUAUUCUAAGUAAUUUCUUUAAUUUUUUCUAUUGCAAAGAAAAACGUCUACGAAACACGACUUCAUCUCUAAUGUUUCGCCAAGAAAAUAAUCGUGGACAUUGGUUGUGAGGGUUGUUCGUGCUUGGUUUGUUCAAGACUACAAAAAUAAAAUAAAAACUACCAUUUUCUAUGGAGUUGGUUCUAAUGGAUCGAAAUUGACUUUUUUCAUACCGUUUUUUGUUUUGCUUUGUUUAAAGUAUAGUAUUUUAAUAUUUGUUAUCUAGGGUGAUCGAAUAUGUGUGUUUAUACGAAGAACAUUGAUCUACAAGUUCAAGGAGCAGCUCCAAGAGGGAAUGGCGUUCACGAUUUCCUUAUUUGAUUUUGUUUGCAACAGUGGUUUGUAUAGACCAUCACACAACGAAUACAAACUGAAUUUUACAAUUAACACAAAAAUCAAAAUAUUUAAAUCUUCUUUGGUCCCUACAAACAUGUAUUCGUUUACACUGCAUAUGAUGUUUUCAAUGAUUCUUACGACAUGAAAUGUAAUUUGAAUCAUAUUUUUAUCAUCAAACUAAUUUCAAACCCCCAUCCCUUUCUAACAACAUGAACUAAAUUAUAUAUUAAUGUAGUUGGUGUCUUGACUGAGGUGGAUUUUGUUUUAAUGAAGACCUCAAAUCAAUUAUAUUAAAAACCCUUCAAGCACAAGAUGUACCCAAUAAAAGAAAAUACAAAGUUCAAGAUGCAUAGAUACAAAAGAACCAAAUCAUGAGGUAGAAUAACCAAGACAAGUAGAAAGAUUAUUUCACCAACAUUUCAACUCAAAAUACAUACAUGAUUGCUUAGCAUUUUGUAUCCAGUAAACAAGAAAUAUAAUUUAUCUAACAACACCAUAAACUGGUUCUUGUGACAAAAAUGUAAGAAUUUUUGUCUUUCCAAAUAAUCCAAAUGCAAGUCAGCAAAAUCAACUGAAAACUAAAACGAACUUUUUUUGGAACAAUUGAGAACCACUGAAAUGAAGAGUACCCUCAAUAAUUAAUUGGAAGAACACAAUAAUUCCAACCACUUUAGAAUAUUAUGUCAUAUGCUACCAAAGAAUUCACACUAAAAAUAAAAAAGAUAAUUUUCCUCUUUUUCACAUCUGCCAGAACAUAAAAAUAAGUCCAUAUUUUAAAUACUCCAUCAAGCUAAGUUGCCAUUUAUUAGAAUUCAGAUAUUCAAGAGCCUCCGCGAAAAGAGAGAGGCAUUUAGAGGAGCUACUUUGUUCCUAAUGAGAUUUUUUAGAGCCAUAGGUUCAUCAUGCUCCACUUGCAACUAGAUGAUAUACCCCUUUGUCAGAGUAACUUUCACCAUGAUCAACUUUAAAGAAACUUAUAAAAAAAUGCUAGCCUGAAAAAUAAUGUUGUCCACCAAAUAACAACAAUAUAUCCCCUGCACCUCAUUCCAAGAAAAAUUCUAUGACAUCGUCUCCACCCCAUCCAACCCUAACCUACGUAUCUCCUCAAAUGGCAUAGAGUUAUUCUCAUAUAACUCAAAAGUUCUUCUAAAUAUAUCACACAAAGGACCACUCUACAACCACGAAUCAUUGCAAAAAAAAAGGAGUAUUUUUUCUCAUUACUCUCCACUAUCAUCAAGUUGUCAUCAAACCAAUUUCUAAUCCCCAUCUCCGCCCCUAUUUUAACAUCAUGGAAGUAAUUUUACCACACACACUCCUAAUUGUCCCCACUCUUCACAUGAACUCACCCAACCUAUUCUAAGAAGCUAAAACUCUAAAAUGCAAACUCAUUGAUCCAUAUCAGCCUCCAAAACUAUUCAUGUAACAAAGAUAAGUUAAAAUUCUACAUUAUAUGAACCCUCAAGCAACAACUAUAUCGACCAAGACACACCUUAUCUCACUUAAACCAAUUGACUUUAAUAGCUUCCGCACUCUCUCCACACUAAAAAUAAUAAGGAUUCAAUAAAAUAAUUUUUACUUAAGUAAGCCUUGAAGAAUGAAAGAAAUUAAACCAAUUGUGGUGGAUAUUGAAAGAGAAUACAAAGAUACAUUAGAAGAAUAUUGAAUUGAAUUCGAAUGGGUGAAAUCAAUUUAUUUUCAUUUUUAAUAUAUAAUACAUUAUGAUAUUUAAUUAUUAUUUUAAUUAUUUGUCAAAUAAUUUUUAAGAGAUAUCAGUUUGAACGUACUCUUUUUUCUAUUUUCUGGUAAAUUUAAAAAGGCGAAUCUGACAAUUUUGUUGCAAAAGUUAAGUUGUUCCUAGGUAAGUAUUUAUAACUAUCAACUUGAUUAUUUAAUACCAUUAAAAACUACAUAUUUAUUCAUUUAGUUGAACCAUUUUAUUUGUUUCUUUAGAGAUUGGAAAACGAUGUUACAAAAUUCUUUUCAAUCAACUAAGAUCAAAUUCAACCAUUAAAUUAUGGAGACAAAAAGAACUAAAGAAAAUGUAUGCUUAUUUUGAUGAAGGAGAUUUUUUUUCCACAAUCCUUUUAGUAAAUACAUUUUCUAAUAAAUGGUAAAACAAUUACCUUUAUUUUUAGUUGCCUGAUCUAUCCCACAUUAGCAUACCUGAAGAAUUUUUUACUCUUACUCUUAGGAUCACCAUUGGAGUUAAAGAACCUGCAUGAAAUUGAGUGGGUUGACAUAGAUCUCCUACCUUUUUCUUCCCCAUGUUUGUGGAGGUUUUAGUUUGUGGAUUUCGGUUAGGAAUAUUAAGAAGGAGGAAAUGUUUGCUUGGAAAAAAGGGGAAACGAUGAAUUGGAAAUCAUAACUACACUAAAAUAUAACGAAAUUAGGUUAGAUUGUUUUAAUUAGGUUAGGGACUCUCUCCAAUCUUAGAUAUAACAAAUAAACAACUACAUUUUAUUAUCUUAAAUUAAAAAAAAAUAUAUAACUUACUUUGACUUUAUUUAAUGUUAUUUCUCCUAAUAUACAUUUUAAUUCAUGUAAGUUUUAUUUUUAAUAUUUUUUUAUUCUCAUGAAACAAGUUCCAAUAGAUGGUACUUUUCAUAAUUUUAUAUUUUUUUAGAAACAUUCGAGAAAACUAAUUGCAUAUAAGUAAAUUUUUGAACUUAGAUAUAUUUUUUUUAUAAUUGAAAUCCGAGAGAGUGAUUAAAUAAAAAAAGUAAUAACUUUAUUCAAAGUGGUAGGUUUUUUAUUAUAUUUUUAUAAGACAAGAGCAAAAAGAAUAAUCUCAAUUAAGUUGGUACCCUACUUUAAUCGAUCACCAGUUGCUCAUAUAUAUUAUUAAAAAAAGGAAAAAAUUAUAUAAAAUCUGGGAGGACAAAAAAUAUGAUUCAGUCAAUCCAAGUGGAUCCACCCUAACGAGUAAUAUAUAAAAAAAAAAAAAAAAAAGAUCAACAAAGUGGAUUCAACCCUAAUUAAUUCUAACAAACGAAUACCAUUAACGAUAGACGUUUGUGAUGGCCAAUCGGGUCUAUAAUUUGGCGAAUUGAUCGAUCUUCAACACAAAAUCAGAUCACGUGCUAUCAACUCCCUACAACAACGACAACAAGCAUUAACGACUCUUUCAAGUCCACACAGUCUCAUGUCAAUCAAGGAUUAAUGGGAUACGAAACACAUACAUAUUCUUGAGAGUGGAAAGUAGAUUCAACCGCCAACACGGUAAUUAACAGAUUCACACGCACUAACUGUUUACUGCUAUGAUCAACAUCAAAUUAACAGUCAUUUAUGGCCCAAUAUAGAACCUCAACCACCUCCAAAGAAAGGGAGGAGAUGGCGGAUUCGAAUGACCCACCAUAACCAAUCCACACGGCGGCGAAAAAUGUCUAAAACGGUGGCAAAAUAGAGGAUAAAGAACGGACCCUUUCGGGUUUCAACCAAACCAAUGCGGGGUUCUGCUAUUGAGAAGCCAACACACAAAACUAAACAAGAUUGCCGGUGACAACCAACAAUUUACGAAUACCAACAACUAAGCAACCACCACCCGUAGCAGAUGCGGUACUGGUUGAAUCGGAAACGAACGACACGAAUUGUUGCGGGAACCGGAAAAAGGGUGGUGCGGGGGGACGACGCCACUCAUCACACCAUCGUUGAAUGUUGGUACAUCGUAAGUGAUGAAGGUUUCAAAAAAAAGGGGGCGAGGUGGCGGAAGAUUUCUAAAGAGAGGGCAGAGCCAUAAUGGUAGAUUAUAGCAGGGGUAAUCAUACCUCUUAUUAAUUAGAUAUAUUUUUAAGAAUAUACUAAUUAUUUAUAUAUUUUUAUAUUUUAAAUAUAGUUGUACUUUUUCUCAAUAUUUUAAGCAGAGUUGGCGUCCCUGCCAACUCUGUCUCAAUUUUAAAUAUGAAAAUAAAGUACUACAUAAUAUCAAAAUUCUGAAUGAAAUCAAACUAAAAAAGUCAAAUAAUAUCUAAAAAAACUUAUUUAUGUGUAAACUCUGUUAAAAAAAAUUUAAAUAAAAUGUAUCCCGUGCUUGGCACGGGGCGUUACACUAGUAAUAUACAUUCUAAUGACAAUGAAUUCUUUAAAAUUUCUCGAUUACCUCAUCUAAACAAACUCUAAUAGUGUUGUCCAACGUAAGAAUCAACUUGACACUUUAAUCCUUUCAAAUAAAAACUUGAUAUUUAGAGGAAUUUUAACAUGGUCACAAGACAUUAAUCAAAAAAAAAAAAAAAAUGGUCACAAUAUAAAAUAAACACUGUUUGGACACACACAUUUAGUAUUAUUUUAAUUAUAAAAAGAAAAUUGAUAAAAGAUUAUUGAAUAUUUUGAGAAUAAUAUCUUGAUGUGUGUGCCAAACACUAUUUAUUUAGUCUUGUGACCAUAGAAUAAUGGUCACAUUUUAAUAGAGUGGGUCAUGGAGGAUAAUCUCAUCGACAUCUUUUAAACCUUGCUUUGCAUCGAAUCUCCAUAAAAGAACACCAAAAUUUAAUUGGGAGAAAUGAGGUUAAUUAGGGUUUAGGUUUGGUGCUCAGAGAUUUAAAUUGGCGAGGGAUUGAAUAUGAGAGAGAGGAAUUGUGUCCAGAAAUAUUGCUUCCCAUCUCAAAUUCUCAGGUUUUUUCUUCAACAUGUCUUGAGAACAAAUUCUGUACACUAUAGCACUUUCGUAUAAACAAUCAACAAUUUUUGCCUUAUGAAUUGAUGUAUAUUUCUUAAACUCUAUAUAUAGUAGAAAACAGUUGCUACUGAAAUAACAUUAUUAUGAUCUAUUACUUUUCCAACAUUAUAAUGUUUUUUCAUACCAUAGAUGCAUUUUCUCAAAAUAUGAAGUCUGCAUUUGAUAUAGCAAGUCCAUCAUCACACUACAAGUACAAGAUACAAACAUGGUAGUUUUUAUUGAUGACAGACAUUACAGCAAACAAACAUACAUAAUAACAUGACCAUACAUAGGAGGAUGAGGGAAUUGGAUUCCUUCUCAUCAAUUAUUCAUAGCAACAAACAACACAACAAACCAUGACAUUUUCUAGAUGGAAACACUGUUGGGAAUGCCUCUGAAAGUCAAUCCUUCUUCACUAGAAGGAUAAAGCAGAGUGUAUGGCAUCUUCACAGGCCCGUAUCGGUUUCUCAAUGACUCGUCAGCGUUCCUUUUAACUAGCUUUUCCUCAAUUUCAGCCAACUUCCUUGCAAACUUCUUGUAGGCCUCUUUUGGCUGUGCAUCAGAAGUCCAAAGAUCACCUUCGAUUCUCUCCCCAAGGUAUUGCUCAUCAGAAGCAUGCCUUGACAAGACUUCAAUAAUGGUAAGGUCUGUAAGGGUAUCACUCUUGGGUGUGAUUGUCUUCAAAUAUGCCUUCUGGUAGUCCUUAGAAAGCUCAGCAUACUCGGCUGAUCCUUUCUCAGGCAUGAAUCUCCUGCUCUUAGUUGGUCGGUUAAGGAUGUAUCCUCCAUAUGGGUAUUGUCCAAAAUUAACAGCUGCAUGAAGUGCUGAAGCAAUCCAUAUAAGGAUGGUGGAAGCUUCGAUCAACUCCGCACGAGUUUGCAUCUUAAACCACCAUGUGGCACUCUUUAAGUCACCAUGACCCACCUCUACAAGUUCCUUCCAGAAUGCUUGGAGUUCAGCAUCUUGUGCAAUGGCAGCAUCUGAUUUGUAGUAGAAACUCACAUAUUCUCCAACCCAUGUCUUGAUAGCAGCCCAUAUCUCUAGUCCAUCCGAAGCAUAAGGAUAAUCCUCAAUCAAAAGGCGAAUGCCGUGUGGUGAAGCUGGAUCCUCAACAGCCACUCCUCUGCAUAACAAGCAAGGUAUAUCACAUUAGCAUAAAUAAAAAUUACUUUUGUGAAUCAAUUGCUUUUUCCUUUAUGAGUAAACAUAGAAUCUAAUGCUUUGUAAUAUCACCUUUUGAGUAGAUCAUUAGGUAGCCCUUGCUCAGUGAAAACCCAAUCCCUAUAUGCAACAGCAGACAUUUCCAAAGCAUAUCCUCCCCACAAGAAUGUUGAUUCUAUAAUACCCUCAGCAUUGACAAGGACAUUCCGUGCAAGUGAAUUUAUGUUCAUUGUGUCACGGUAGUGAGGAAGUAAAAGUUUGUGGACAGGGUGAACCGUACUAAGGUGUCUGUUUGUUGCUAUGAUGAACGGCUCAACAACAGCGUGAGUGUUCAACCUGUCAUACAUGUAGACAUUAAUAAACAACUCACAGAUAGAUAAAUUAUAUCUGUUUCUAUAAAUCUCAUUUACGAAAUUCAUACCAAUGGCUAACAAGUUGGUGAUGGCAAGAGUCAUUUACAACUACAUAAGCUUUAGCAAGUAGCCAAAUAGAAGCUUCAACACCUUCACUUGCAGGGAAGUAAACUUCACUAACAGGUCCAUAACUAUCAUCGUCAGGAUGUGGCUUACUUAGCUCAAUCGCCAGUGGCUUUAAAGUUCCAUCAUUUUGCAAGAAAAGGAUGGUUCUAGCAGCAUAGGCCUUUGUCUCAGUUGCAUUUAUUUUCCUCAAAUAUGGAUAUACUAUGUCAUAGUGAUCAAGGAUGUACAAUUUGUUGUUUUGGAUAGCCUAAUCAACAAAAUAUAAUUUAGUCACCGUACAUCAUUUGAAUAAAAAUGAACCAUUUCUCUAGAAAAACAUUAAUAUCUUGUGUCAUUACCUGUUCUACAGUGAUCCCGCCCAAGUUUGGCUCCAAUUGUUCUUUGGUUAUGGUGCUGGUGUUAUCUCCAUAUUUUUGGCUAUCUAGCUUGCUCUUAUGUGGGAACUCCUGAAUUAAUUGUUUCAAGCAAUAAUGUUACCAAUUAUAGAAAUAACAUAUUGUUUACAAAAUAGUUAACAAUGCUAAACUAUUAACUUUACCGUGAGUUUUUUGAUGAUGUGUGGAUUCACUCCAGCAAUCAUCUCCCUUGCAAAUUCCUCAUCAGUCAUCCACGCAGAAUGAUCGACUACUCAAAAUAAAAAUUUCAAAAGAUCCAUGAACUUGAUUUCUCUAGUAUAUGCAUAUGUUGAUAAGAUUAGGAGUUUGUGACUAAUAUAUACCUUGAACCACUUUAGGUGGUGAAAACUUAAGGGUUGAUGCACCAUCAGAUCGAAAAAGUUCCGUGAACAAUGGUAUUGGGCUAACGUUGCUAAGAAAAUUGGUAGGUAGCUUGAUUCCACCAUCGUAAAGUGACCGCACGUCUUCAAAGUUGUUAAACUCUUUGCUAACUACAGAUUUCAAGGAAG
RNAcentral lists this long non-coding RNA (72725 nucleotides) under Medicago truncatula (barrel medic). Its description in RNAcentral is "long non-coding RNA (MTRU_LNC005926)". The stretch from base 46960 to 47033 matches the Rfam family "MIR5272 microRNA precursor family". Lineage: Eukaryota; Viridiplantae; Streptophyta; Magnoliopsida; Fabales; Fabaceae. The record is from RNAcentral.